UUAUCGCAAGUUCAGGACGGGUUUGAAAACAGAAGUUGAUGAACUUUUGAAGACCGAAAAGGAAGAGAAUCCAAUGCGCAUAGUUUAUAGUUUUGGCAUCUGUCAUGAACAUUCUGGCACAUUUGUAUUGACUUACAUAAGAAGUACAAAUCCACACCAUGAGUACAUUGGUCUUUACCCCAAAGGAUUCAGGUUCCGCAAAAAGAUGUUUGAGGAUAUUGACCGGCUUGUGGCAUAUUUUCAAAGGCACAUCGAUGAUCCACAAAAUGAUUCAGCACCUUCCAUUAGGUCAGUAGCUGCAAUGGUGCCAAUGCGAAGCCCUGCUACUGGUGGCUCAUCAGGAGCAUCUGUGGGUAGUGGCUGGGGUGGUUCAAACAGCGAGGGUGGUUGGAGAGGUCCCUCGUAUGAUAGGGACCGGUCUUCUACUCCUGGUUCCAGAACAGGUAUGAGAUUUUAAAUUCAGCUCUAGUUUGAGGUGAAUCUAAUUAUUUUGUUUGGAUUUCUUCUGCUAGUAUUGCGCCUGCUUUGACAUUAAAUAUAAUUAGUUAUCAUGAAUCCUCUUGUUAUCAACAUGUUGAUUGGUUCCUUCUUCUGUGCAUUUUGUUCUACAUCUACCUGUUCUCUUUGUCUGCAGUUCACAUAUCAUUCAACUAAUUGCUUCCGCAUGUCAUUUUUCUAGUUCUUUUUAUUCAAAAUUAACUGUUUCUUUAUUUUUACAGGACGACCUGAUUACAGAAAUAAUGGGAAUCGAGAUGAACACCCUAGUGGAUUGCCUCGUCCAUAUGGUGGUGGUCGAGGGCGUGGUCGCGGUUCUUAUAGUAAUAAUAGUAGAGGACACAACUCCAACCACGAAAGACGUGCCGGUGCAACCAGAUGGGGAUCUGCUGUGAAAGACGGGGAUGACAGUUUAAGCAACUUCCCAGGGGCUAAGGUUCAAAAUUCCCCUGGAAGAGAAGCAUUUCCAGGUGGUUGGGGAGGUGGAGCUAGUGGUGGUGACAAAAGUGGCUGGGGAGGUGGAGCUAAUGGUGGUGACAAAAGUGGCUGGGGAGGUGGAGCUAGUGGUGGUGACAAAAGUGGAUGGGGAGGUGGAGCUAGUGGUGGGGACAAAAGUGGCUGGGGUGCUGGUCCAAGCGAUGCUGAACAGGGAAACUCUGGUUGGGGAACUGGAUCCAAGAAAGCCGGAGACAAUGGAUGGUCUGGAAACUGACCGGGCGGAAUCCACAGAGCAUUCACAUUCAUCUGUAAUUUCUCUUUAAAUCCACUCAUUUGAAUGAUAAAAUGUGGAUUAUUAAUUUAUUAGAGUAAUUGUAGUUGAUCUUGACUAUGGAACUCUGCAUUUCGUUUUCACAUUAAAAUUUCGAUUAUAUGUUCAUCGAACGACAACUGUCGAAUAUGAUUUAUAGUUUACUAAUAAGAUAAGAGGCCUGGUUGCUCGAGCUGGUGCGGAGGGGAACCUCCCGCUGUACAGGCCAUGAUAAUUUUAUGGCAGAAUUUGAUCUACGUAGCCGACCCCAUUCAGUGAGAUAAAUCUUGAUUGUUGUUAUCUGAUGUGUGUAAUAUCAAAUUGAUAUGCUUAACUGACGUAUGACGUUUUCACAGUUGCAGCUUUUCUACCGAUGGAAGUACUAAAGCGCGGAGAACUUUAGCGAUCAUAAAGCCGGAUGGAUUGCUCGGUAACUACACAGAUGAUAUCAAGAGAACAAUUUCAGAAUAUGGUUUCAGCAUUGUCAAGGAACAGAUUGUUCAACUUGGCGAGGCGACUGUGAAAAGAUUUUAUGCAGAACACUCUUCAAAAAGCUUCUUUUCAAGCCUAGUUAAAUACAUGACAAGGUUCGUCCAUUUUAAGGCCAAACUCCGUUCCGCUGAGCAAUUUUUUUUCAUAUUGCUAAUGGAUUCGAUCAAUAAGCACACAUGUCUAGCUUCAUCACUAUGUCUGAUAAUGUUAUCGGUUCAUCCAUAUGAUUUCUGUUUAAUUGCAUGUUUAUAGUCUUUUAUCAUCUUUAAUCUUCUCUUUUGCUUCUCCAUAACUAUAAUCAGUGGACCAGUGUUAGUCAUGGUUUUGGAAAAGGAUAAUGUUGUUGCUGAUUGGCGCGCUUUAAUGGGUCCUACUGAUGCAAGCAAGGCCAAGAUUACUCACCCUCACAGGUUUCCAUAAACAUGUUUACUAAUCAAACUAAUUUUGCUUGUUUAAUCGAUUUCUCUAUGCUUAACUUGUUUAUUAAUUUGAACAGCAUUAGAGCAAAAUGUGGAUUGGACACUGAAAAAAAUUGUGUUCAUGGUUCAGACUCUACCAAAUCUGCACAAAGAGAGAUACUAUUUUUCUUCGACGAGCUCGCUCCAGGUGAGUAAUUUUACUCGAGAAUUCAUAAUAUAAAGAUACUUGCUUAUUUAAGUAUUCUUUUGAGAAAGAUUAUAUUCGAAUUAUCAUAAACCUUUGCCUCACCAAUUCUUAUGGCAGAUGCAAUUACAGAACACGAUGAAUUAAUGCGCAUAGUUUAUAGUUUUGGCAUCUGUCAUGAACAUCCUGGCACAUUUGUAUUGACUUACAUAAGAAGUACAAAUCCACACCAUGAGUACAUUGGUCUUUACCCCAAAGGAUUCAGGUUCCGCAAAAAGAUGUUUGAGGAUAUUGACCGGCUUGUGGCAUAUUUUCAAAGGCACAUCGAUGAUCCACAAAAUGAUUCAGCACCUUCCAUUAGGUCAGUAGCUGCAAUGGUGCCAAUGCGAAGCCCUGCUACUGGUGGCUCAUCAGGAGCAUCUGGUGCAGUAGCUGCUGGUGCAGUACCUUUAAUUUAAGAGUCCUAGGUCAGAAAAUAAUGCCUCGUUACGACUACAAAUCUUGACUCUCUAAGUAGCAACGGUACACGGAAAUUACACUUUGUUCUCGUGUUCUAAUUAUCUAAACUAAUUUUAUUGUUUUUCCUACUCCAUGACAUCAAACCAUUCUCAUAGCCUUAGAUAAACAUCGUGAGAAUAGAUAACGAUAUUUGAUACAGCUAUAUGUGGGAUUGAUAAAUCUUUUAUACUAUAACUGAUAUUAUCUUGGAUUUUUUUCCUAUUGUCCACAAGUUCAUGUAAUAUGAAGUGUAUCAAAAGACAUGGAAUCAAAUCAAAUUGAUGUAUGAAUUAUCGUUGUGUCAAUAACUAAUUUAUUGAAGAAAUAUUUAGUUUUGAUUGCAAGGUUGUCUCAAAUGACAUUGUAGUCUAUUUUGUGUUCAAAUUUAUGAUGUAUCAAACAAGAUUGUAUUAAAUGAUAUUGUGAAAAAUUAUGGUUUAUCAACAUCCAUGCUACUUGAUUAAACAAGAAGUGAAAACCCAACACUAAUAAGCAUAUCAUAAUCAACAUACACAUACAUAACAUCUCAAUUAAAUUUGAAUUAAUCGAAAACAAAAACAAAGUAAAAUAAAAAACACUUAAACCAUAACGCGUGAACCUUUCUAUCCAUCUAUCACCAUGACCCACAACAUACAUACAUCAAAUUAACACAAAGUGUAACAGAUUUCCGUCUAUACUCAUCUCAACCUUACACUCAAUUGAUUCACGAGGAAUGCUAAAUCAUUACAUGGAUUACCACAAAAAAACUCUCUUCCAAAAAAAUCACUCUAACUGAAUUCUUUCCCUCUCUCAAUUCACUUAUAAAUUUACAUCAAAUGUUUAGCAUCGGCCUUGACUUCAACACUAAUAGCAUCCAUUUUACGUCACUAAUGGAGGACGUAAACAUGUUUAGUCAUUUAUUUUUUUUAUCUUCACCUACUAGGAUAAAUUAUAUUACAAUAAAACACACUCAUAAUAUGGUCCUCUAAGCCAUCAUCAAAAGAAACAUCACACAAUCUAUUAUUAUGAAAUGCCAAGGAUUAUAAAAGAGCAUAAACUAACAUAAAUUUGAAUAAGUAUAUAUAGUCCAUAUCAUUUUCUCAUCUUCCUCAUUUUUAUGUAUUUGAUUAUUAAGCAAAAACGUAGACGUAGUGGACCUUUGAGAAUUGAGUCAAAAAGUAAGCGGAUUAAUACCUUCCUACUUUUCAUAACCAUAAAAUACCUCACAUAGUAUUUUAGGAUUAUUUUAUCUAUUUUUUAUUAUAUUAUAUUUGGUAUUUUGUGGUUGUGUUAGGUAUUUAACUGUAGUAGAGAUUUUAUGCGAAGCGAAAACGGAACAAAACAGCAAAAAUCGGAAGAAAAUGCCAAGACUGUGUCAUGGAUUUUCAGAACACCACAAAUUCACCCACUACAGCAAUACCUUGAAGGCUUUCUCCCACUUUUCUUCCAUUAUUCAUACUGAUUUUGUGGUGUUAAGUAAUCGAAAUUCCUCCUAUAAAUUAAUCAGUGGUUUAAGCUUUGGUGUUUAUCUUGAAGCAAGUUUUAUAUUGGCACAUUUAAUUUCCACGAGUUUUAUUUUUCUGUAUUGUAUUUAAAACUCCAAUUUUUAGCAAAUUACCAGUUUAUUUUUGAGGUUUUUUUAAUUUGAUUUCUGUUUCAAUUAUUAUUAAUUCAUUUUAUUGUUUGAAGCUUUACAUGUCAUUUUACUAAUUACCUUUAAUCUUAUUUAGUUGUUAUUUUAAUAUGCCAAAUUUAUAUGGAUUAUUCUUCUUAUCUUACCAUUUAAUUAUCAAAUUAUAUUUCAGUGCUAUACUACUUUCAUAAACAUAUAUAUUUGUUUACUGUUAUGUUAUUUCUAUUUAUGCUUGUUCACGUGUUCAAUAUGCUAGCUUAAAUUACGAGAGUCUGGAUGUGAGAACGUCAUACCGACGAUCUCACAUGAAUCACACUAUAACUGAUGUGUAACGGAGAAUUGUUUUUGGUCUUGAAAAUUGGUUUUCAUAACACGUUUGUGCAAUGCGAUGCAGUGCCAAAACGGAAGUCAUGUAUAGCACCUUUUCAGUAAGGGCAGGUCUGGUGGAGGUUGCAAAGCAGGUUUGGGUCUUAGUUCUGAGCAAUUCGUAUUAUGUCUAUCUGAUAGUUAAGCUGGUACGUAUGUUUGUCUAACCAAACCUUUUAUAUAUAAUCACACAAGACUUGCAUAUCAUUAGAAAAACAAACAUAAUGACAAAAAAAUAACAAAUAAAACAAAAAAAUUGGUUUUUUAUUAUCCAUUGUUAGGGUUUCGAAUUUUGAAAUUCGGAUAAAAUUUCAUUUGUUUGUUAUAAACCAUCAUGAUUUUUAUUUAUUUUUUAAUAUUAUAAUUAUAUAAUUUUUAUUAUUCUUUUUAAAUAAAUCUUAUUAUAUUAUUAAUUAUUUUAAAAAAUUAAAAAGUCAAAUUAAAUAUAUUUAACAUAAAACGUGAGGGAUAUUGAGAAAAAAAUUCUGAAAAAUUCAGUUAUUUGUUUAGUAUAGGUUUGGGAUGAAUAAUUAAAAAGAAUAUAUAAAAAAAAAUACAAUAAAUUACACGGUAAAAAAAGAAAAUUUUAUAGUAUCCCAACAAAGGAAAAUGGUCAAUAAUUUGGGUAAUUGACAAAAUGCACUACCAUUGAGACAACGAGGUGCCAAUCUAUAGUAUUGAUCUCUUUUAUUUCAAAACUUCUCAUUCAUAUUAUAUUUCCUUAGAAAUAGUUGUAUCUAGAUUUUUUCUUCAUACAGCACAAACUUUAACGUAACAAUUGGUACCAUAUAAUUAUUUUUAAUUAUGAUGUUUUUGUAAAUAUAGUUUAUGUGUACAGAUGCUCGGGAAAAAUGGGGUAAAUCACGUUAUGCAAUUUUUUCUAAUUCUUUUACUUCUAAAACCAGUGUUACUUGCAUCUUUUUGAUGCAUCCAUUCAGAUAAUUAAAUUGCCAUUUGUUUGUUAAUAACCCAUCAAUUGUGGAUAUGGUUUUUUAUUUUCUACACUAGACAGAUCCUAUAAUUCUUAUUUUAUAUAUAUAGAGAGAGAGGUGGGGGAGGAAGGAGGGAGACUUCCCACUCCUAACAUUUUCCUUUGUCUUUAUAUGAUUAUAUUAAAUUUAAACAGUAUACUACACAUCUUUAAAUAAAAUGUAAUGUAUGCAUAGUCCAUAUCACCAUGUUAUGUCUAAAUUUGCAUCAACCAUGAGAAGCCUAGAAACCCCGGGACUCGGAAAAACUAAAGGCAUGUUUGAAACACUUUUCAAUUUUAGUUCUUAAAAAUUUUUUUUUCAAAAUUAUUUUUAAAAAUUAAAAAAGAAAAUUAACAAAAAAUUUGUUUGAUAAACUAAUUUUUAAACACUGUUUUUGAAAAAUAUGAAAAUGAAAAAACUGUGUUUGAUAAUCUAUCUUUUAAUGUAUGUAAGAAGAGAGAAUAAAAUGUUAGUAUUAUGGUCAUUUACUUUUAAAUCUAUUUUAUUGUAUAAAGUAUUACAAACUAAAAAAUUAAUUGAUAUUUGGUCGAAUAACAAAUAAUUUGGGUUAAAUCAAUAUUUUAAUGUUUUAUGAAAUGAAAAACUUGUUGAUGUAACUAUCUUUUAAGUAUUUUAAGAAGAGAAUAAAAAUGUAUAUUAUUUGUUAUUUACUUUUAAAAUCUAUUUUAUUGUAUAAAAUAUUACAAACUUUAAAAAAAUUAAUCUGAUAUUUGGUCGAAAAUUACAAAUAAGGGUCUAAAUCUAAUUUUAAUUUACAAAUCACAUAAACCUUGUUUGUAAUAAGAUACAGAAAAAGAACAAAUAAAAAAUGGGAUUCCACGGUUUAUAAUAGAGAGAAAAAAUUUAUAAGUGAAAAUAAUUAAGAAACACAAAAAAAUUAAGUAAAAUAAAUAACAUAUUUUUGAAAGGUUAAUUAUACAUAAAAGCGCAUAAAUAAAAGAAAUAACAUACUCUUUAAAAUACAGUUUUUUUAUUUUAUUUUAAAAAUAUAAAAAUUAUUUAAAAUUACAUUAAUGCUAUUAUGAAAAUUAUAAAUUUUAUGUUUUUUUUUCAAUUUUUAAACUAAAAACUAAAAAGUACACAAAUUAAACAGUUAUCACUUUUUGCUUUUAAAAACUGAAAAAUAAAAAGAGUUUUUAAUAACACUUUUAUGAAACAUAUAUAUUCAACAAAUUUUUAAAGGUUAAAUUUUCAAAAACUAAAAAAGAGUUUUAAGAUACAUUUUCAAACAUACCAUCUCUGCGAUGCUUGGAGACUCUUUUUUUUAUAAAUUUAUUUAUUUUUUAAUAUAAUAAAUUUAUAAAUAAUUUAUUUUCUUUUCAAAUAAAAUCUUAUUUAUCUUAUAUCAUUAAUUUUAAUAAAUUAAGAAGAUCAAUAAAUUAUUUAUGCAUAAUUAAAUUUAAUAAUAGUCAAACAUAAAAAUAUAUCAUUUAUUAGAAUUACACUAAUUAUAAAAAGGUGUCUUAUAACUUGAAUGAGUCUAAAAUACUUAAAUGGGAGCAGUUGAAUCAUCACAAAUUUUAAACAGUGGCAGUGGCAUUAUUGGUUAAGUUUACAGUGGCAGGUUAUGUAGUUAACAGAUUCAGUUAAGUUAAGUUGUGUUUUAUCCAUUGACAGUUAAGUUUCUUACGGUAAUAGCGGGUUAGUUGAGCUUCAUACAUAACACAGUGUAACAUUCCACUGGGAAAAUUCUUCUCUCCUCUGUCAGUAAUCUCUCAGUCAAUUGUCACGCAGUUAGGCAGCAGUAAGCGCAUAUGAAAAAAAGGGAGAGUAGCGGUGAAGCCGGUGAAGUAAUCAGAGAAGUUCAAGCUAGUAGCAGCAGUAACGCCGCAUGAAAAAAGGAGAGUAAGCCGGUGAAGCCGACGUGAAGUAAUCAGAGAAGUCAGCUAGUAGCAGCAGUAAGCGCAAUGAAUAAAGGGGAGAGUAAGCCGGUGAAGCCGGUAGAAGUCAGAGAAGUCAAUGCAGUUACGCAGUAAGGCGCAAUGAAAGAGAGGGGAAGAGUAAAGCCGGUAAAGCCGUGACGUAUGUAGAGAAGUCAAGCAGCUAGCACAGUAAGCGCAAUGAAAAAAAGGGGAAGAGUAAAGCCGGUGAAGCCGGUGAAAGUAUUAGAGAAAGUCAAGCAGAGCUAGCAGUAAGCGCAAUGAAAAAAAGGGGAAGAGUAAGCCGGUGAAGCCGGUGAAGUAUAGGAAGUCAAGCAGUAGCAGCAGUAAGCGCAUUGAAAAAAGGGAAGAGUAAAGCCGGUGAAGCCGGUGAAGCCGUGGUGAAGUAUCAGAGAAGUCAAGCAGUAGAGUGUAGCGCAAUGAAAAAAGAGGGAGAGUAAAGCGUGAAGCCGUGAAGAUCAGAGAAGUCAGCAGAGCUUAGCAGUAAGCGCAAUGAAAAAAGGGGAAGAGUAAGUCGUGAAGCGUGAAGACAGAGAGUCAAGCAGUGCAGAGUAGCAUGAAAAGGAAAAGGGAAGCGUGAAGAUCGAGAGGCAAGGAGUCGCAUAAGCCAUGAAAAGGGGAGAAGUAAAGUUGGCGGCCGUGACCAUAGAAGUAGCAGUAGCAGCAAUAAGCUAUGAAAGGAAGAGUAAAACCGGUGAAGCCGAAGUGAGUCAAAGUAAGCGUGAGCGCGAAGAAGAGUAACGGUCGAGAAGCAAGAGUAGCAGAGCAUGAAAGGAGGUACCGGUAAGCCGAAGUAUCAAGAAGUCAAGCAGUGCGCUGUGGAAGAAAAAGGGAAUGGGGAGUAUAAAGCAAGCUUAGGAUAGCGAUGCAGGGAGAAAGCCGGGAUAGGCGUCGAGUACGAGUAACCAAUGAAAAAGGAAGAGUGGCCAAGUUCAGAAGUCAGCAGAGCAGUAGCGCAAUGAAAAAAAGGGGGAAGAGUAAAGCCGGUGAAGCCGGGAGUUCAGGAAGGUAACAGUAGCUAGGCAAAAAAGGAAAGAAACGGUGAGCGUGAGUACGGAGUCAAGCAGUAGCAGCAGUAAGCGCAAAAAAGGAGAGCGGUAAAGCCGUGAGUAUCAAGAAGUCGAGAGCAGCGUAACGCAUAAGGGGUAAGCGUGAAGCCGGUGAAGUAUCGAGAUACGCAGUCUAAGCAAGGGGGAUAAGGUGGCCGGAAGUACAGAAAAGUUCAAGCAUAGCACAUCUAAAGGAAUAACCAAGAGUGAGAGCAGAGGUUUCAGAGUAGAGCGACGAAUGUAAGGGGUAAGCCGUAGGGAGUAUCAAGUCCACAGUAGCGAAUAAGCGCAGAAAAGGAAGUCGAAGCGUAUCAAAGAAGUAGCAGACAGCAGUAACGCAAAGGAACCGUGAGCCGUAGAAGAAAGUCAGAGUAGAGCCGUAGGCAUAAAAAAGGGAGUAAGCGGGAAGCGGAAGUCGAGAAGUCCGCAGUAGUAGCCAAGAAGGGAGAAAACCGGGACGUGAAGUAUCGGAGUCGCAAGUCGCGCGAAGCAAAAAGGGAUAAAGCGUAGCUAAGUUCGGAGUCAAGCAGCAGAAGAUGAAAAAAAGGGGAAGAGUAAAGCCCGGUGCCGGUGAAGAAUCAAGAAUCAGCUAGACAGUAGGCAAGCAAAAGGAGAUUAAGCGUGAAGACGAAAGCAGUAAGAGCGCAGAAAGAGUAAAGCGUGAACCGUGAAGAAGAGAAGUCAAGCAAGUAGCACAAACGCAAUGAAGGGAUAAGCGGGCCCGGUGGACAAGAAUACAGUACAAUGCAUACAAGGGAGAGUUACGUAAGCCGUGAAGUAUCAAAAGCACAGAAGCAGUAAGCGCAUAAAAGAAGAGAAACCUGAAGCAGAAGUCAAAGCAGAGCAGCAGUAAGCCGUAAGGAAGAAGCGGUGACCGCUGAAGUAUCAGAGUCACAGUAGAGAGUAACGGCAUGAAAACGAAGAAGUCGUUGAGCCGGGAAGUAUCAAAGCACAGUAGCAGCAGUAAGCGCAAUGAAAAAAAGGGACGAGAAAGCGUGAGGCUGAAGUUCGAAAUCAAGGUAGAGCAAAGGCAAUAAAAUGAUAAGCGGUGAAGUUGGAGUCGUUAGCACCAAAGUUAAACGAUGAAAGGGAAACCGGUAAGCGAAGUAAUGAGAAGUAGCGAGCAGCGUAAGCGCAAUAAAGGAAGAUAAAGCGGUAAGGGAAGAUGAGAAGUCAGCAGUAGGUAUAAAAAAAGCCGGUGAAGGCCGGAGUUCAGGAAGUAAGAGUAGAGAUAACGCGAAGGAAGAGUAAGCCGAAGCCGAAGUUCGAGCAGCAGUACAGUAAGCGCAAUGAAGGAAAUAAACAGACCGGUGAAGAUCAGGAGUAGCAUAGACAGAACCAAUAAGAAGAAACGGAGUAUAAAGAAGCAUGCAGUGUAACCGAUAAAAAGGGGAAAGAUCCGACCGGUGAAAUCAGAAGUAAGCGUAGGCGAAGCAAAAGGAAGUAAGUCGGUGAUUUAGAGAGUUCAAUGCAAUAACAAUGAAAAAGAGGAAGAGUAAAGCCGUGAAGUCAAAAAGUCAAGCACGGUGGCAUGAAAGGGAAGAAGUAUAACGGAAGCCGGAACGUCAGAGAAUCAAGCAGUAGCAGCGUUAGGCUGAUAAAAGGGAGUAAAUGUGAAGGGACAGGCAAAUGAGCAGAAGCGAAUGAAAAGGGAAGAAGUAACCGUUGAAGCGUGGUGAAGUUAUAGAGAGUCAAGCAUAGCAGUCAGUAGGCAAUGAUAAAAAGGGGAAGAGUAAGGCCGGUGGAAGCCGCUGAAGUAUCAGAGAAGUCAAGCUAGUCUAGCAGCAGUAAGCGCAAUUGAAAAAGGGAGAGUAAAGCCUGAGCGUUGAAGUAUCAGAGAAGUCAAGCCAGUAGCAGCAGUAGCGCAAUGAAAAAAAGGGGAAGAGUAAAGCCGGUGAAGCGGUGAGUAUCCAGAGAAGUCAAGCAGUAGCAGCGUAAGCGAAUGAAAGAAGGGAAGAAGUAAAGCGGUGAAAGCCGGUGCAGUAUCAGAGAAAUCAAGCAGUAGCAUGCAGUAAGCGCAUCUAUGAAAAAAAGGGGAAGAGUAAAGCCGGUGAACGCCGGUGAAAGUAUCAGAGAAGUCAAGCAGUAGCAGCAGUAAAGCGCAAUGAAAAAAAGGGAAGAGUAAACCCGGUGAGCGGUGAAGUAUCACGAGAAGUCAAGCAUAGGCAGCAGUAAGCGCAAUUGGAUAAAAAGGGGAGAGUCAAGCCGGUUAGGGCCGGGUAAGUAUCAGAGAGUCAAGGCAGUAGCAGCAGUAAGCGCAAUGAAAAAAGGGGAAGAGUAGCGGUGAGCCGGUGAAGUUAUAGAGAAGCAAGCGAUAGCAGCAAGUAAAGCCGCAAUGAAAAAAAGGGAAGAGUAAAGCCGGUAGCGGUUGAGAGUUAUCAGAGAAGUUCAAGCAGUAGCAAAGCAGUAAGGCGCAUUGAAAAAAGGGGAAGAAGUAAAGCGCGUGAAGCGUAUCAGAGAAAUCAAGCAGAGUAGCAAGCGUAAGCGCCAACUGAAACAAGGGAAGAGUAAAGCCGGUUUGAGCCUGUAAAGUAUCAGAGAAGUCAAGCAGUAGCACAGUAAGCGCAAUGAAAAAAGGGGAAGUAGAAGAGGUAAAGCCGGGAAGUAUCAGAGGAAUCAAAGCAGUAGCAGCAGUAAGCGCAAUGAUAAAAGGGAGAGUAAAGCCGGUGAAGCGUGAAGUAUCAGAGAAUCAGCAGUAGCAGCAGUAAGCGCAAUAUGAAAAGGGGAGAGUAACUUGAAAGCCGGUGAGUAUCAGAGAAGUCAAAGCAGUAGCAGCAGUAAGCGCAAUGAAAAAGGGGGAAGAGUAAAGCCGGUGAGCCGUGAAGUAUCAGAGAAGAUCAGAGCAGUAGCAGCAAGUGAAGCGCAUGAAAAAAAGGGAAGAGUAAAGCCGUGAGGUGAAGUAUCAGAGAACGUCAAGAGUAGCAGCAGUAAGCGCAAUGAAAAAAAAGGGAAGAAGUAAAGCCGGUGAAGCCGCUUGAGUAUCGAGAAAGUCAAGCAGUAGCAGCCGUAAGCCGCAAUGAAAAAAAGGGGAAGAGUAGCGAAGCCCGGUGAAAGAUUCAGAGAAGUCAAGCAGUAGCACGCAGUCAAGCGCAAUGAAAAAAAGGAAGAGUAGCCGGUGGAAGCCGGUGAAGUAUCAGAGAAGUCAAGCGUAGCAGCCGUAGCGCAAUGAAAAAAAGGGGAAGAGUAAAGCCGUGAAGCCGGUGAAGUAUCAGAGAAGUCAAGCAGUAGCAGCAGUAACGCAAUGAAAAAAGGGAGAGUAAAGCCGAUGAAGCCAGUGGUAUCAGAGAAGUCAGCAGUAGCAGCAGUAAGCGCAAUGAAAAAAGGGGAAGAGUAAGUCGGUGAACCGUUAGUAUCAGAGAAGUCAAGCACAGUAGCAGCAGUAAGCGCAAUAAAAAGGGGAGAGUAAAGCCGAUGAAGCGUGAAUAUCAGAGAAGUCCAAGCUAGUAGCAGCGUUAAGCGCAAUGAAAAAAAAGGGGAGAGUUAAAGUUCGGUGAAGUUAGAGAAGUCAAGCAGUAGCAGCAGGAAGCGCAAUGAAAAAAAGGGAGAAGUAAAGCCGGUGAAGUAAGUAUCAAGAGAAGUAAGCAGUAGCAGCAGUAAGCGCAAUGAAAAAAAAGGGGAAGAGUUAAAGCCGGUGAAGCCGGUAAGUAAUCAGAGAAUUCAGCAGGUAGCAGCAGUAAGCGCAAUUGAAAAAAAGGGGAAGAGUAAAGCCGGUGAAGCGUGAAGUAUCAGAGAGAAGUCAAGCAAGUAGAGCAGUAAGCGCAAUGAAAAAAAGGAAGAGUUUUAAAUCCUUGAAGCCCGGUGAAGUUAUUAGAGAAUCACGCCAGUCGAGCAGCAGUAGCGCAAUGAAAAAAAGGAAGGUAAGCCGGUGAAGCCGCUGAAGUAUAGAGAAGUCAAGCAAAGUAGCAGCAGUAAGGCAAUGGAAAAAAAGGAAAGCAGCAAGAGUAAGCCGAGUGACGUAUCAGAGAAGUCAGCAAGUAGCAGCGUAAGCGCAAUGAAAAAGGGGAGAGUAAGCCUGAAGCCGGUGAGUACAGAGAAGUCAAAAGCUAAGUAUUUAGCAAGCGUAAGCCAAUGAAAAAAAGGAAGAGUUUUAAGCCGGUGAAAGCCGCGUGAAGUUCGAGAAAUCAAGCAAGUAAAUAGUAGCGCAGUCAAGCGCAAUGAAAGAAAGGAAAGUAAAGCCGGUUGAAAGCGGUAAAGUUCAGAAAGUAAGGCAGUUGCAGCAGUAAGCGCAAUGGAAAAAAAAGGGAGAGUAAACCCGGUGAGCCAGUGAAAGUAUCAGAGAAAGAAGUCAAGCAGUAGGCAGCAGUAAGCGCAAUGAUAAAAAGGGGAGAGUAAAGCCGGUGAAGCCGGUGAAAGUAGCAGAGAAGUCAAGCAGUAGCAGCAGAUAACGCAAUGAAAAAAAGGAAGAGUAAAGCCGUGGAAGCCGGUGAAGUAUCAGAGAGUCAAGCACUAGCCAGCAGUAAGCGCAAUGAAAAAGGGAAGAGUAAAGCGGUCUAGGCGGUGAGUAUCAGAGAAGUCAAGCAGUAGCCAGCGAUAAGCGCAAUGAAAAAGGGGAAAGAGUAUAGCGGUGAAUAUCCGAGAAGUCAAGCACGGGUAGCAGCAGUAGCGCAAUGAAAAAAAGGGGAAGAGUAAAGCCGGUGAAGCCGCGUGAGUAUCAGAGAAGGUCAAGCAGUAGCAACUUAGCCAAUGUGGAAAAAAAGGAAGAGUAAAGGCGCGGUGAAGCCGGUGAAGUAUCAGAGAAUCAAGCGUAGCAGCAGUAAGCGCAAUUUGAAAAAGGGGAAGAGUAAAGCGGUGAAGCGGUGAAGUAUCAGAGAAGUCAAGCUAGCAGCAGUGCGCCAAUGAAAAAGGGAAGAGUAAAGCCAGGUGAUGUUAUCAGGAAGUCAAGCAAGUAGCGCAGUAAGGGGCGCCAUAUGAUAAAAGGGGAAGAGUAAAGCCGGUGAAGCCGGUGGAAACGUAUCAGGAGAAAUAGUAGAGCAGUAGCAGCAGUAAGCGCAAUGAAAAAAGGGGAAGAGUAAAGCCGUUGAAGCGCGGUGAAGUAAUCAGAGAGUCAAGCAGUAGCAGCAGUAUAGCGCAAUGAAAAAAAGGGGAAGAGUAAAGCCGGUGAAGCCGCUGAGUACAGAGAAGUCAACAGUAGCAGCAGUAAGCGCAAUGAAAAAAAGUGGAAGAGUAAAGCCGGGUUGAGAUCGAGACGUCAGCAGUAGCCAGCAGUAAGCGCAAUGAAAAAAAGGGGAAGAGUAAAGCCUGUGAAAGCCGGUGAAGUAUCAGAGGAAUCAAGCAGUUAGCAGCGGUAAGCGCGCAAUGAAAAAGAGGAAGAAUAAAGCCGGUGAGCCGGUGACAGUAUCAGAGAAGUCAAGCAGUAGCAGCAGUAGCGCAAUGAAAAAAGGGGAAGAGUAACAGCCGGUGAAGCCAGUGAAGUAUCAGAGAGUCAAGCAGUAGCAAGCAGUAAGCGCAAUGAAAAAAAAAGGGGAAGAGAAAAGCCGGUUGAGCCGGUGAGUAUCAGAGGAAAGUCAGCAGUGGCAGCAGUAAGCGCCAUGAAAAAAGGGGAAGGUAAAAGCCGAUGAAGCCGGUGAAGUAUCAGAGAAGUCAAGCCAGUAGCAGCAGUUAGCGAGGAAGAAAGGGGAAAGAGUAGUCGGCGUGAAGUUAUUAGAGAGUCAAGCGAGUAGCAGCAGUAAGCGCAAUUGAAAAAAAGGGAAGAUAAGCCGGUGGAGCCGGGUGGAAGUAUCAGAGAAGAUCACAGCUAGUCGUAGCAGCAGUAAGCGCAAUGAAAAAAAGGGGAAGAGUAAAGUCGGUGAAGUAGAGGAGUCAGCAGUUCUAGCAGCAGUAAGCGCAAUGAAAAAAAGAGGAAGAGAAGUGUGAAUAUCAAAGAAGUCAGCAGUAGCAGCAGUAAGCAGCAUGCAAAAAAGGAGAGUAAGGGUGAAGCCGGUGAAGUAUCAGAGAAUCAAGCCAGGAGCAGCAGUAAAGCGCAGAUGGAAAAAAAAGGGGAGAGUAAAAGCCGGUCUGAAGCGGUUGAAGUAUCGAGACAAUCAGCUAGCAGCCAGUAAGCGCAAUGAAAAAAGGGGAAGAGUAAAGCCGUAGAAGCGGUGAAGUAUUAGAGAGUCAACAGUAAAAUUGCUGCAGUAAGCGCAAUGAAAAAAAGGGGAGGAGUAAAGCGGUGAAGCGCUGAAGUAUCAGAGAAGGUCAGCAAGUCAGCAGCAGUAAGCGUAAUGAAAAAGGGAGAAAGUAAAGGCCGGUGGAAGUAUCGAAGAAGUUAAGCAAGUAUAGCAGCAGUAAGCGCAAUGAAAAAAAGGGAGAGUAAAGCCGGCUGAAGCCGGUGAAGUAUCAGAGAAGUCAAGCAGUAGCAGCAGUAAGCGCAAUUGAAAAAGGGGAAGAGUAAAGCGUGAAGCGGUGAAGUAUCAGAGAAAUCAAGCCAAGUUGCAAAGAAAAAAAAAAAAAAAAAAAGCAGUUAAGCGCAAUGAAAAAAAGGGGAGAGUAAGCCGGUGAGCGCGGUGAGUAUCAGAGAAGUUCAAGCAGUAGCAGCCAGUUAAGCGGCAAUGAAAAAAAGUGAGAGUUAACCGGGUGAAGCCAGUGGAUCAGAAGAAGUCAAGCAGUGGCAGCAGUAGAGCGGCAUGAUAAAAAGGGGAAGAAGUAAAGCCGGUGAAGCCGGUGAAGUAUCAGAGAGUUUUCAAGCAGUAGCAGCAGUAAGCGCGAUUGAAAAAAAGCGGGAGAGUAAAGCCGGUGAAGUCGGUGAGUAAUCAGAGAAGUCAAGCCGUUAGCAGCAGUAAGCGCAAUGAAAAAACAAGGGAGGAGUAAGGCGGUGAAAGCGGGAAGUAAUCAGAGAAUUCAAGCAGUUAGCACAGUAAGCGCAAUCCGAAAAAGGGGAGAGUAAAGCCGGUGAGCCGGUGAAGUAUCAGAGAAGUCAGCUAAGUAGCAGCAGUAAGCGCAAUGAAAAAAGGGUAAAGAGUAAAGCCCGGUUGAGCCGGUGAAGUAUCAGAGAAAGAGAAAAUAUAUCCUCCAGAAGAAACUAUAAUCCGCCAAGAGUUACAGCGCCAAAAGAGUGCUAAAAGAGUUACAAGACUGUCAACCAAAAAAAACGUCUGGAAUGAAAAAGAGUGAGGUUUGUAAAAGAUGCAAUCAAAGCUUUCAUAUGGAAUAGGCACUAGUAAGGGCAUAGAAAUGGUUGUAAAUGAAGAGAGAAAGAUGAAAACAAAGCGGAAAGGUGUAAUGCUAGAGAAACAGGUCCAAUCCAGCAAGAAGAAGACAGAAUGAACAAAGGGCAAGGGUAAAUGCUACAGAAACAGGUGUCAAAUCCGCAAAGAGAACACAGAUGAAAACAAGGGAAGGGCAAGCUGAAAUGUGAUACUCAAAUUAACCUGCAUGUUCGCAUGUCAGCUUUUAUUUCAUUGUUUUCAUUUUGUAUGGAGAUAUGAUGUUUCAUUUCUUUUUUCAUAUUUUGGAUAUUACAAAUUCAUUGGAACGUUUUCUUUCUUCCAUUUUUACAUUCUUUUAUACUCUUUCUGUUAUAUUAAACAUUGUAAUGCUACCAAUUUGAUAUUACAUAAUUGUUCUUAAUAUGUAUAUUCGCCAAAUCAUGAGAAUCUCUUUUCUCAACUUUUCCAUUUCAUUAUGCGUCUUGACUUUGAAAUUAUCUUUCUUCAAUGUAUUUAUGGAGAUCACAAGAUGCAAACAAAUGUAAUUGAUUACAAAGAGACUAGGCUGAAGAUUAAUUUGAGCCUAUUGCUUCCUUCUGAGAAAUAUUAUGGACAGAGACGCAUGACCGAUAUAUUUCACAUGGAAUGCCUUAUAGCACAAGAGUUCUGAUGUUGAAGUAAAUUCAUACGGACGGAUUACUCAAUUGAAUCACAAUAUUAACUAUGUGUACGAGAAUUGUGUUUUGGGUCUGAAAAUUUUAUUUGUAACACGUUUCUUGUGCAAUGCGAAUGCAGUUGCCAAAACGGAAGUCAAUGUAUAGCACUUUCAGUAGGCAGGUCUGUGGGAGCGUCUGCAACAGGUUUGGGUCUAGGUUCUGAGCAAAUCGCAUUAUGUCUAUCUGUAGUUAGCUUGGAUGAUAUGUUUGAAUUUAGAACUGCUCUUUGUUUUUGACAUAACAUAAUGAUUAAAAGGUUUUGUAUUUGUCUGCCUCUUCUACAAACAUGGCUUCAUAGUCUCAUCAGAAACCCACCAGAAAGAGGCUNAGGAACCACAUGAAGAAGUUGAAUAAUUUUCCAAGCAUUACCCCCUACACUAAAUAUUUCGACUUUGUUGGGACUCAAAGAUAGAAUCUUAUAAGUAUCGGUUGAAUUAUCAUAACCAAAUGAAAAGCGGGAAGACCUGCGAUAGUCAUAUGCAUUUUGGUGAGGAUUGGAGUGAUGUCCAAAGUAGACAGAAAAUGUGUGGGCGGCUGGGUUCCAUAAUUGAAACCAGGUGUAUUGAAGAUCUGUUGAAGAAAUAACACUGAAACAUAUCAAUCCAUUGCAGGAACCAAUGAAUUCGUAGCAAUUGUCGACGCUGGCUGAGAUGUAUUGUUUGGUGUACUUUAUCAUGGAAGGAUUGUUUAGUAAAGUAUUGAGGGGAUAGGGUUGGAUAACAGAUUCCUGAGACACGCCUAAGAUUUGUGUGAGAUUCUUUUUUUUUUUUGAACGUUGAAGAUGCAGUUUGAUAAAUUUUGGAUCGGAGAUGAUGGCGUUCCAUGCUUUGGUCACGCAUCUCAGUUGCGUCAAAGAUCUAACCGGAAGGUAUGACAGAACUUGUAAGAUGAGUUCUUCGGGAAGGAAUAAUAGAUUGCCGUUGGAUUUCAUCACAACUUGCGCACUCUUAAAACUGAAAUAGAAAUAGAAAGCUGAACCCUAAUAAACGUAAACAAGCUGUUACUCAUUUAAAUAGGGUUUCUUAAAAUGUUUUUUUUAUAUGUUUGUAUCCUUUAAUUUUUAUGUGAGCCCAACCAACAUGCAAAUUCGCCUUUUUGUUUUCUAUAUUUUUUUAAACCAUUCUAAGGAAUACACUAGUGGUAUUAUUUUAAGAUUUUAAAUAAUAUUAUAUAUUUUAAUUUNUUUUUUUUAUAUGUUUGUAUCCUUUAAUUUUUAUGUGAGCCCAACCAACAUGCAAAUUCGCCUUUUUGUUUUCUAUAUUUUUUUAAACCAUUCUAAGGAAUACACUAGUGGUAUUAUUUUAAGAUUUUAAAUAAUAUUAUAUAUUUUAAUUUUUAAUAUCUAUAAAAUUUUACAUAAAUUUUUAUUAUAGAAAGCGAUACAGAACCAUAUAUAAAUAAAAAUAAAAGCUUACAAAAUAUAGAAAAAGUAAUCGAGCGUGUAUAUAGACCAAUAUAUUUAGCAAAAGUCCAAGUCAAAACAUCAAUAAAAAAUUGCCUAACCACAAAAAAAAAAGGAAAAACUAUUACAAAUAUAUUCAAAUAAUAAUGACAAAUAAAUUCAAAUUACCUCAUUUUUUAUAUUACGUUCAUUCCUUACAAACUUUCAUAUUCUAAAUCAUAUUUAAUGAUGUUUUUAUGUCAACACUAUCAAAUAUAUUAUUGAGUUUUGAUGUCUACCAUAAUUUAUAUCUAAAUAUUUUGUGAUUCAAAAUUGAAAUUUAUUAAAAUAAAAUUAAAAACAAAUACUCUAUUUACUCGUAAAUUACUUUUUCUGUUCAUCAUGUCUCCCUUUUUCUAGAAAAAACAAAUACUCUAUUUACUCGUAAAUUACUUUUCCCUUUUUCUAGAAGCUAAAUAAUCCCCGAAGCAAAUUACUCAAACCCUAGCCGCAUAACAUUUAAAAAAAAAAUCUCAACAUCAACCACAAUCAACUAUAAUUAGUCUGAAAUCCUAAAGCCUAGGAGAAAAAUAGGGGCUUCGGUGGUGAGAAGAUUGAUAUGAAAGGAAUAAGUCUCACCGGAGCUUCGCAACUCCGGCGAGAUCCCGACGGUCGAAGAAAUACCUCAGGUAAAGGAUUGCGACUCUUACUCUUUAGCUCCAAGUCCUCGACUUCUUCUCCCCUUCUUCUUCAAAUCUUCACCCUCUACUCGUCAAAGCGCUUUUUCUAAUGAACUGCGAUUUCGUCCAGGUUGAUUGAGCUUUGGUGUGUAGGUUGGGAUGUGAUUUCAGCAGGGUGACGGUGCCAGAAGGGAGAGGCCUUUCAAUGAAUGAGCGCUCCCUUUUAUAGAGUUCAAUACGAGGUUCAAUCCGCUCCUCCUUCAUGAGCUGGCAAAUCUUUGGAUGAAUCAAUCCGUUAGCCAAAAGAAUCUCGUCCAGAUUUGGUGGUCCUCCCUUUUGACGUGGACCCCAAAAUGAAGGUAUUAAGGUUUAAGCUUUGUCUGUAGCGAAAUCUCUCAAACACGUUGUCUAUUUUGAGUUUUUUAUUCACUGCCGUGAAAGAUCUAUAUGUCACCGUAAGAACUUUGUUUUUACUGUCACGUAAUUCUUGAAUUUUUCGCAGGUUUUGGGUUAACUGAUGCCAUGAGGAAAAGACACUCACUUAAAUGGCCGUUUGGACUGUUGUGAAUGGUGAACUGACAUGACAGAAUACUAUUUGGCCAGUUCAGUUACCACUGAUGCACUGCAGGUUAUUACCAUGAAUUAAUGGUGAACUGACAUGACAGAAUACUAUUUGGCCAGUUCAGUUACCACUGAUGCACUGCAGGUUAUUACCAUGAAUUCACACAUUGAUGCAGGGUGGUAAACUCUUCAUGUUGCAGAGUGGUGGUGACUUAAAUGGUCAAGCGGAGAUUGAGGCCGCUUGCGAGUCUGUAGCCCGUGUACGUCCAGCCUUCAGUAAACAGUUCAGAACAUGAGGUUAUGUUCUUAUUAUCCUCGCACUCAUUGAUUGAAUCAUUGCUGAAUUGUGGUAUGCAUUAUCUGUUUGGAUUGCGGACCCUGCAUUGGUAUGCUCUAACACCGUCCUCAUCUGUUCAUGAUUUGCUUUGCUUUGACUUAUGCCUUUCUUGCUUAUCAUGUUAAGCUUGUUCGUCGCAGACUUGCAGGAUUCAUAUUGGUGGCAUGACGAAUUCUUAUUCACUGCCUUGGUUGUGAAAGCGGCUUUUGUGUUCUUUUGGCUUAUGUUACCGUAGAAUUUGCAGCAAUUGGUGAUACUAUUCCGUCUUACAAUACCAAUCCAUUGUUGACUGGUUCUUCAUGUCUUGUUGACUUAGUUUUUUUUGUUUUGAGCUCUGCAAAGCACAUGUUGUUAUGACUGUUGAGUUGGUAUUGACGACAUCGCUACCUUUGAGCUAACUCAUUGCUUCUCAUAGCCCUUGAUUUGGGUUGAUCCGAAAACUGCAUAGGCUAGGUUUGUUGGCUUCAAAUUUGAGCUAACUCAUUGCUUCUCAUAGCCCUUGAUUUGGGUUGAUCCGAAAACUGCAUAGGCUAGGUUUGUUGGCUUCAAUGCAGGUUUUGCUUUAUUUCCUGCAACAUAUAUGAUAUUAAGGAUGAUGAUGCCUCAGUUUAGAUGCCACGAUAUGCUGCUGAUUUAUGUUUCUGUUGUGAGAAAUGCAGGUUUCUAGGUUGCUUAAGAUUUGCGCUGUCUUGUGUGACUCAUGCUGGCACAAUACUACUUGAGGCCUCUUUUCAACCAAACUUUCCAUCUUUAGGAAAUAACCAUACCAUUAAGUCGAAGGAAAUGACAAGGAAAUGAUGGUGUUGCAGGUGAAACAGAUAUUUGCUGUGAUGAACUUUGUUAUUGACCUUAUGUGUGGUUUUGUAUGUGUUGUCAUGAUGCUUAGGUAAGGUACUUGGUCAUUGUGUGUCAACAUGUGAAUUGGUUUCUGGUUGAGUAUGCUGCUCAUGCUGCAGUUUGAUGAUCACCGUUUUGCAGGACAUGGGAUUUACGGUGCGGAAGGCCAUGGCAUGCUGCAGAUCUAAUGCAUCUGUCUUGGAUGCUGAUGCAGGCUGGACUGUUGAAGAUGUUCCUUAUAGUAACAGAGUUGCUUUGGCUGGUUUAGAUCAAUUUAUCACCAGGAAUGCCACUUUGACAAAUGAGAAAGAAGUUGAUGCACACCCUAUUCGUGCUAUGAAGUUUUCUGUUGCCUGUUGUGUGUGUUGCUGUUCAGUGCACGGUUGAUUUAGAUUCAAAGCUUGUUGAAGGUCUCAAGCGUCUUCCUAAGUCAGAUCCUAUGGUUGUUUGAUACGCUAUGACUAUGCUAGCUAUUCUAAAAAUCAAUUUGUACUUAGCCUGAUACAAUUUGAAUAAGUAUAUAAUUGAAGAGGAACUGACUUCAAUCCGGGGAAACCAAGCUUUCAACAUAGUUAUGCGGAUACAUCCACUUGAAGUUGCUCAAUCUAAUUUUUUCUAUUGUAUUAUCACUCCAAUUAUAUAGAAUCACUUCCAAUCCACGCCGACGACUAGCUAGUACUAGUGCGAUGCCAUCCUCAUAAAGGCAUACUGGGCCAGAAAAUAUUUAUAUUUAAUACGAAUAUCCAAAUCCUGAUAGCUUAUUUUUAGUAAUUGAGUCCAUGACUUCUCAAUUCCAAAUUCCUUCAUCUUCCAUAUAAUAAAAUGAGUUUUCUGAGUAUGGUGACAAAAACAAAGACAGUCCCCCAAAACAUAAAUAGUUGGCAAAUGAAGUGGAACUUCCACAAAAUCUUGAGGUGGAAGCAACUCGCGAUAUGCCUCUGUACCGAGAUUCAUCGAGAUAAUCACGAUAUGCUCGACAAUAUCUCGAGCCAAGAAGUUUAUAGUGUCAUUCAAAUACAAAUCUUCAUUGAAAAGCCGACGUUUUCUUGGACACGUUGCCAAUGGUCUAAAGGAAUCACAUGAAGAAGUUGAAUAAUUUUCCAAGCAUUACCCCUGCACUAAAUAUUUCGACUUUGUUGGGACUCAAAGAUAGAAUCUUAUAAGUAUCGGUUGAAUUAUCAUAACCAAAUGAAAAGCGGGAAGACCUGCGAUACUCAUAUGUAUUUUGGUGAGGAUUGGAGUGAUGCCCAAAGUAGACAGAAAAUGUGUGGGCGGUUGGGUUCCAUAAUUGAAACCAGGUGUAUUGAAGAUCUGUUAAAGAAAGAACACUGAAACAUAUCAAUCCAUUGCAGGAACCAAUGAAUUCGUAGCAAUUGUCGACGCUGGCUGAGAAUAAUUGUUUGGUGUACUUUAUUAUGGAAGGAUUGUUUAGUAAAGUAUUGAGGGGAUAGGGUUGGAUAACAGAUUCCCGAGACACGCCUAAGAUUUGUGUGAGAUUCUUAUUUUUUUUGGAACGUUGAAGAUGCAGUUUGAUAAAUUUUGGAUCGGAGAUGAUGGCGUUCCAUGCUUUGGUCACGCAUCUCAGUUGCAUCAAAGAUCUAACCGGAAGGUAUGACAGAACUUGUACGAUGAGUUCUUCGGAAAGGAAUAAUAGAUUGGAAAGGAAUAAUAGAUUGCCGUUGGAUUUCAUCACAACUUGCGCACUCUUAAAACUGAAAUAGAAAUAGAAAGUUGAACCCUAAUAAACGUAAACAAGCUGUUACUCAUUUAAAUAGGGUUUCUUAAAAUGUUUUUUUUACAUGUUUGUAUCCUUUCAUUUUUAUGUGAGCCCAACCAACAUGCAAACUCGCCUUUUUCUUUUCUAUAUUUUUUUAAACCAUUCUAAGGAAUACACUAGUGGUAUUAUUUUAAGAUUUUAAAUAAUAUUAUAUAUUUUAAUUUUUAAUAUUUAUAAAAUUUUACAUAAAUUUUUAUUAUAGAAAGCGAUACAGAAUCAUAUAUAAAUAAAAAUAAAAGCUUACAAAAUAUAGAAAAAGUAACCGAGCGUGUAUAGAGACCAAUAUAUUUAGCAAAAGUCCAAGUCAAAACAUCAAUAAAAAAUUGCCUAACCACAAAAAAAAAGAAAAAACUAUUACAAAUAAAUUCAAAUAUAUUCAAAUAAUAAUGACAAAUAAAUUCAAAUUACCUCAUUUUUAAUAUUACAUUCAUUCCUUACUUAAUGUGAGAGUUGAAUCACCAAAAUUUUAAACAUGAUUUAGUGUACAGUGGCAGUUAUUAGGUUAAGUUUACAGUGGCAGCAGUUAUUAGGUUUACAGUGGCAGCAGUUAUUAGCUAAAUAAUCCCUGAUACAAAUAACAUUUCUGAUUUUGAAUGUGAACUUUUCUUUUUAAAUUCCUAGUCUGCUUCUAAUUGCUUUUGAGAACUUUAACUAUUAGCCUGCUACCAUUAUAACAAACAAAACCUUAUGUUCCUGCAGGAUAUAACAUUUCCUAUCAUAAACCAACUCUAAGUUCAAACCUAAAUUGGCUCUCAAAUUGCUAACAUAAAUUGGCUCUCAAAUUGCCGACGCCACAAGGUCAUGAAGGCCAUGGUAACAAUGAUUGACCAUGGACAUGCUACUAAGUAACCAAAAUCGUUGCCUGAUAAUAAUGAUGUAAUCACUGGAAACUCAAAGGCCAAUAUAGCGAAAGUCAGGGCCAUAGUGAUUAGGAUUAGUGUUGGGAUCCUUAAAAGAAUAAGUAUUCCUAAUUACUAAUUCAAAUAAACAACCAAGCAAACCCUUUUUUUAAAAUUAACCUGAACUUCAAUAAAUUAAAAUAGAAUCUUCGAUAAAAAACUGAAAUUAUCUUGAAAAAAGGUUAAUGAUUAUGAGCAAGUGAAUGCUUAAAUCCAUCAGUGCAAAUGAGAACAAACCAUGAAUGAUGAAGGUUUUAAGGUUGUGAAGUUGUCCAAAGAAAUUAAGACAUGAUUGGGGGUUGUGAAGCUUGGAUCCAGUGAGGAUACUUAAGCUUUGAGUUUAUGCAUCAUGUCCGAAAGUUUUGAACUGUCCGGACAAAAUUGGAGUAUGACAGCCAUAUGUAUUUUGGUGAGGAUUGGAGUGAUGCCCAAAGUAGACAGAAAAUGUGUGGGCGGGUGGGUUCCAUAAUUGAAACCAGGUGUAUUGAAGAUCUGUUAAAGAAAUAACACUGAAACAUAUCAAUCCAUUGCAGGAACCAAUGAAUUCGUAGCAAUUGUCGACGCUGGCUGAGAUGUAUUGUUUGGUGUACUUUAUUAUGGAAGGAUUGUUUAGUAAAGUAUUGAGGGGAUAGGGUUGGAUAACAGAUUCCCGAGACACACCUUCUUAUUUUUUUGGAACGUUGAAGAUGCAGUUUGAUAAAUUUUGGAUCGGAGAUGAUGACGUUCCAUGCUUUGGUCACGCAUCUCAGUUGCGUCAAAGAUCUAACCGGAAGGUAUGACAGAACUUGUACAAUGAGUUCUUCGGGAAGGAAUGAAGGAAUAAUAGAUUGCCGUUGGAUUUCAUCACAACUUGCGCACUCUUAAAACUGAAAUAGAAAUAGAAAGUUGAACCCUAAUAAACAUGCUGCAGUUUGAUGAUCACCGUUUUGCAGGACAUGGGAUUUACGGUGCGGAAGGCCAUGGCAUGCUGCAGAUCUAAUGCAUCUGUCUUGGAUGCUGAUGCAGGCUGGACUGUUGAAGAUGUUCCUUGUGGUAACAGAGUUGCUUUGGCUGGUUUAGAUCAAUUUAUCACCAGGAAUGCCACUUUGACAAAUGAGAAAGAAGUUGAUGCACACCCUAUUCGUGCUAUGAAGUUUUCUGUCGCCUGUGUGUGUGUUGCUGUUCAGUGCACGGUUGAUUUAGAUUCAAAGCUUGUUGAAGGUCUCAAGCGUCUUCCUAAGUCAGAUCCUAUGGUUCUUUGAUACGCUAUGACUAUGCUAGCUAUUCUAAAAAUCAAUUUGCACUUAGCCUGAUACAAAUAACAUUUCUGAUUUUGAAUGUGAACUUUUCUUUUUAAAUUCCUAGUCUGCUUCUAAUUGCUUUUGAGAACUUUAACUAUUAGCCUGCUACCAUUAUAACAAACAAAAUCUCAAUUAAAUUUGAAUUAAUCAAAAACAAAAACAGUAAAAUAAAAAACACUUAAACCAUAACGCGUGAACCUUUCUAUCCAUCUAUCACCCUGACCCACAACAUACAUACAUCAAAUUAACACAGUGUAACAAAUUUCCGUCUAUACUCAUCUCAACCUUACACUCAAUUGAUUCACGAGGAAUGCUAAAUCAUUACAUGGAUUACCACAAAAAAACUCUCUUUUAAAAAAAUCACUCUAACUGAAUUCUUUCCCUCUCUCAAUUCACUUAUAAAUUUACAUCAAAUGUUUAGCAUCGGCCUUGACUUCAACACUAAUAGCAUCCAUUUUACGUCACUAAUGGAGGACGUUAACAUGUCUAGUCAUUUAUUUUUUUAUCUUCACCUACUAGUAUAAAUUAUAUUUAAAUAAAACACACUCAUAAUAUGGUCCUCUAAUGAUAGCUUAUUUUUAGUAAUUGAGUACAUGACUUCUCAAUUCCAAAUUCCUUCAUCUUUCAUAUAAUAAAAUGAGUUUUCUGAGUAUGGUGACAAAAAUAAAGACAGUCCCCCAAAACAUAAAUAGUUGGCAAAUGAAGUGGAACUUCCACAAAAUCUUGAGGUGGAAGCAACUCGCGAUAUGCCUCUGUAUCGAGAUUCAUCGAGAUAAUCACGAUAUGCUCGGCAAUAUCUCGAGCCAAGAAGUUUAUAGUGUCAUUCAAAUACAAAUCUUCAUUGAAAAGCCGACGUUUUCUUGGAGCACGUUGCCAAUGGUCUAAAGGAACCACAUGAAGAAGUUGAAUAAUUUUCCAAGCAUUACCCCCUACACUAAAUAUUUCGACUUUGUUGGGACUCAAAGAUAGAAUCUUAUAAGUAUCGGUUGAAUUAUCAUAACCAAAUGAAAAGCGGGAAGACCUGCGAUAGUCAUAUGUAUUUUGGUGAGGAUUGGAGUGAUGCCCAAAAUAGACAGAAAAUGUGUGGGCGGUUGGGUUCCAUAAUUGAAACCAGGUAUAUUGAAGAUCUGUUAAAGAAAUAACACUGAAACAUAUCAAUCCAUUGCAGGAACCAAUAAAUUCGUAGCAAUUGUCGACGCUGGCUGAGAUGUAUUGUUUGGUGUACUUUAUUAUGGAAGGAUUGUUUAGUAAAGUAUUAAGGGGAUAGGGUUGGAUAACAGAUUCCCCAGACACGCCUAAGAUUUGUGUGAGAUUCUUAUUUUUUUUGGAACGUUGAAGGUGCAGUUUGAUAAAUUUUGGAUCGGAGAUGAUGGCGUUCCAUGCUUUAGUCACGCAUCUCAGUUGCGUCAAAGAUCUAACCGGAAGGUAUGACAGAACUUGUACGAUGAGUUCUUCAGGAAGGAAUAAUAGAUUGCCGUUGGAUUUCCGUAACUUCAUCACAACUUGCGCACUCUUAAAACUGAAAUAGACAUAAAAAGCGCUGAACCCUAAUAAACUUAAACAAACUGGUACUCAUUUAAAUAGGUUUUCUUUAAAUAUUUUUUUUAUGUGUUUGUAUCCUUUGAUUUUUAUCUUAGCCCAACAAACAUGCAACCUCACCUUUUCUUUUCUAUAUUUUUUUAAACCAUUUUAAGAAAUACACUAGUGGUAUUAUUUUAAGAUUUUAAAUAAUAUUAUAUAUUUUAAUUUUUAAUAUUUAUAAAAUUUUAUAUAAAUUUUUAUUAUAGAAAGCGAUACAGAACCUUAUAAAUAAAAACAACCGCUUACAAAAUAUAGAAAAGUAACCGAGCGUGUAUAGAGACCAAUAUAUUUAGCAAAAGUCCAAGUCAAAACAUCAAUAAAAAAUUGCCUAACCACAAAAAAAGAAAGAAGGAAAAACUAUUACAAAUAAAUUCAAAUAUAUUCAAAUAAUAAUGACAAAUAAAUUCAAAUUACCUCAUUUUUUAUAUUACAUUCAUUCCUUACAAACUUUCAUAUUCUAAAUCAUAUUUAAUGAUGUUUUUAUGUCAACACUAUGAAAUAUAUUAUUGAGUUUUGAUGUCUACUAUAAUUUAUAUCUAAAUAUUUUGUGAUUCAAAAUUGAAAUUUAUUAACAUAAAAUUGAAUAAUUAUUUAAUCAUAUAAUAUAUUCCGUCAUUUUAUUUAAAAAUCAGUGGAUAAACUAAUUCAUAGUACAUGCUAUGAAUCGCAGGAGUUUUAGAUUAUACUUUUAUUUCACUAAAAAUGGUAACCUUUCUAAAUAUUUUAUUAAUAAUUUAAAAAUAAAUUACGUUUUUUCUUGAUUUCGUUAUCCAAUCGAGGUGAAUUUCUUUCUCUAAUUUAUAUAUAGAUUAGCAUGAAACAUUUAGUUAAACAACAUAAACGAAACGAGUAGUCAUAAACAAGAGAGCCCUAAACAAUAAGAAUCCUAAACACAUACCAUCCUCAAUACGAAGAUGAUAUGUGUUUAGGGCUUUCAUUCGAUUCUUGCCUGAACGAAAGAUCCAAAACAUUUUCUUUCACUUCUUCUUCUCAGAUCUAGUACAUCAAAUAUCACUACUUAUGUUGUUGUUGUUGAUGUUGUUGUUGUUGUUAUUGUUGUUUGUUUGUUAUUGUUGAGAUCCAAAAUCCUAGAGGUUUAAUCAUGUAGUUGAUGUUGUUUAAAUAGGUUUAUCUUAGAGAUUAAUUACUAUAUACUGUUAGUGUAAAAAGUUUUACACCGUCGAUUCAUCACCAUCAUCUGUUUGUAUUACUUUAUAGAUUUUUGAAAUAAAAGUCAAAUUUCUUUUAAUAUCCGACGUCUAUGAUUAACUGACGGUGUAAAAUCUCUUUACAUUGUCAGUGUAUUUCAAUUAAACUGUUUAUCUUAUAGGUUUAUUGAUGAUGUUGUUGUAGUUUUGUUGAGAGAUUGUUAAAGUUUUCUUUAAAUGUAUUUUUUUACAUGUUUGUAUCUUUUCAUUUUUAUCUUAGGCCAACAUACAAAAUCACUUUUUUCUAUAUUAUUUCUUUUAACCAUUCUAAGGAAUACUCUAAUGGUGUUAUUUAAAGACUUUUAAAAAAAUUAUAUUUUUAAUCUUAAUGUAUAUAUAAAAUUUUACAUAAAUUUUUAUUUGAACCAUUCUAAGGGAUACAAUAUUGAUAUUAUUUUAAGAUUUUAUAUUUUAUAUUUUAUUAAAAAUGACGCAUUCUUGAAUAUUUUGUUAAUAAUCUAAAAAUAAACUAUGUUUUAUCUCGAUUUUGUUAUCCAACCGAGAUGAAUUUGUUUCUCAUAUAAUAUCUAUAUAUAUAUAUAAUAUAUAUAUAUAUAAUAUAUAAUAUAUAUCUAUAUAAUAUAUAUAUAUAUAUUAUAUAUAUAUUAUAUAUAUAUAUAUAUAUAUAUAUAUAUAUAUAUAUAUAUAUAUAUAUAUAUAUAUAUAUAGUUUAACUUGUAGCAUUUAGUUAAAACAACACAAACGAAUAAUCCUAACCAAGAAAGCCAAUAGAGAGCCCUAGAUAAUAAGAGUCCUAACACAUAUGAGCCUUAAUAUGAAGAUGUAUGUGUUUAAGCUCUCAUUCAUUCUUGGUCGAAUAAAAGACAACAACAUUUUCUUUCACUUCUUUUUCUCAGAUAUAAUACAUCAAGCAUCACUACUCGUGUUACAUUGUGUGUUUGUUUAUCGUUGUUAUUGUUUGUGUUGUUUGUUGAGACCUAAGACCCUAGAGGUGUAAUCUUGUUGUUGUUGUUGGUUGUUGUUGUUGUUGUUGUUGUUGUUGUUGUGUUGUUUGUUGUUGUUUAAUACGUUUAUGUUAUAGGUUUAUUGAUGAUGUUGUUGUACUUUUGUGAGAGUUAUUUUUUUGAAUGAUUGAUGUUAUUGUUUGUUGUUGCUACCUAGUUUGUUCCAUACUACCAACAAAAAUUAUAAAAAUCUAUAUGUAUGAUUAAGUUGUUGUUAUUGCCUUUGAUUUGAUAUUGAUAUCUUUUAUUAUAUUUAAAUCUGAAACUACAUAUUAUAUCACCAACACAGCUAAUUUUUCUAAUUUAUUUUGUGCCACAUCAUCUCAUUGCCCUUUGUGGCACCUCCCUAAUCAUUUUUUAAAGUUCAAAUGUAUUAGUUUUCUCUCUUAGAGAUCACGAGUUCAAUUCUUGCAAAGACAAAAAAAUACAAUAUUUAUUUUUUAUUGGAAGUCACAAGUUCAUUUUUUACAAAAACAAAAAUAUUUAUGAAUCUAAACACUAAAAUUAAAUAACACAAACGAAUAGAACCCUAACGAAUAGUCGCUAACCAAGAGAGCAAAAUAAGAGAGCCCUAAUAUAAUAGAGUUCCUAAACACAUAUCAUCUUUAAUACUAAUAUGAUAUGUGUUUAAGGCUCUCUUGAAUUCUUGCUCGAAUGAAAGACGCAAAACAUUUUCUUUCACUUCUUCUUCUAGAUAUAAUACAUCAAACAUCACUACUCAUAUUACAUUGUUGUUGUUGUCGUUGUUGUUGUUUGUUGUUGUUGUGUUGUUGUUGAGUGCCUAAAACAUAGAUGUUUAAUCUUGUAUUGUUAUUGUUUAAAUAAGUUUAUGUUAUAGGUUUAUUAAUAAUGUUGUUGUAGUUUUGUUGAGAGAUUAUUGUUUUUGAGUGGUUGAUGUAUUGUUGUUGUUGCUUAGUUGUUCUACUACAAUAAAAUUAUAAAAUUAAUAUGUUUGUGUUUAGUUGUUGUAUUGAGUUACAAUAUUUGAGAUUGGAAUAUUGAUAUUGAAAUUAGAUUAUGUUUUAUGUUCUUUGUACAGUUUUCAUUCUUGUUCCGCCGAAUUUAGUUUAUUUUAUCUAAUGUUAUCGUUGGUUUUUCACUUACCAUCUUUAACAUAAAACCUAUUAAUUGUGUUUGGAAAAAUAAUCAUAUGAAAAAUGAUAUUGUAUUUAAAAUUUAUCUUACACUGAUUAAUGAUUUUAUAGCAUCUGCAACUCAUGCAUUAUCUCACUGCAUUUUUAUAGUUUAAUAUCUCCAAUCUUAAAAGAUGGCUCGCCCAAUGUUUAUACCUCAAUUUUUUAUUGAAUUAAUUUGAAGUUUUAUCAUAAAAUAUAUUAUUGUGUGACUUAAAAAUUAGUUCCUUAAUAUUGUGCAUUUAUUGUGACGUUGUAGACACAUAUACCCGAUGUCUAAAAAUCGAGAUCAGAGAUUGACCGGUGAAAGAUGCGGUUUAAGAUUCAAUUGGUUCGACGCGGUUAAAACCUAACGGUCGAACCGUUUAUUAAAUAAAACUAUUAAUAUUGUUCUGGACUGGGCCAUGACCACUAGGCACGGCCGGCCCAAUGCUCGCCGAAGUCGAUGUCCAAACGACCACGAGACAACGUACGAACGAUCAGCAUGGUGAAACGCCGUCCGCCCGAGAACGUCUCCCCGGCCCUAAAUACGUGUCGGGCGACGAUCGGGUGCCCUCCUCAUAUGAAUUCCAUCCACUUAUGGUCAACCCACGGUCGCGGACACCUGAAUUGUGUCCGGCAGAGCCAUAACGGCAUCUCACUUACCACGUCAGUCACCAACUCCCUAUAUUGGGUCUCUUAGGAUAGGGCAGUUGACCAGGGCAGACCUGGUCUAGGUCUUAACGCUUUCUGACGGCGUCCCUGGCAGCUCCUCCUGGGCCUAGCUAAUCCAGCCCAUUAGGAGCCUUGGCCCAGCGCUGGGGCUCAGUAAUAAAAUACCCUUACAUGGAAAGGGCAGGUAUUCUAACUCACACUCUGAUAACCUCAUUCUGUACCUUUUCUGACUUAAGCAUUGGAGCACCUUGCAGGGUAACACCCCCUCUCAUUUCUAUUCUCUGGCCCAUUCACCAAGACCUUUGGAAGGCCCUCACUGAUCAGGUAAGAUCGAGUGGCGCCGUCUGUGGGAACCAGCUAUCCCAUCUUCAUCAACGAGGAUCAAAAGCUUCAUUUAUUUUGUCCUUUCCAACAUGGGCGGAGAACACAUAGCGAUCACAGCCGUCCCUCGUCAACUGUACAAUAUGGACGACGGCCCGCCAUCCAUGAAACGGACGCUCGGACGGUCAUCCAUCCACCCCCGUCUCCAAGAGCCCCAAAAACAACGGGAUGCUCUCACGCCCACAAUUUAGGGCAGAGAACAUUUCAUCCCAUUCCCGUUCCCAUGUUGAAGGAGACGCGUAAUGAUUGGCCAUGGUGAAAUGCCCUCAAUCAGGCCGUUCUAUGCAUCCACCAGCAGCCACGAACGAAUCAUGGCCCUCGAAGCCGAACGACAAGAGGCCCCGACCCAGCCGGUGAGUGGAAUACAACAACGUUCGGAAGCCAACGAAGAAGCGAGGAGCGUCGCUCUCCAGACCCCACGUCAGCAGGGCAACGCGCGCCGUCGUGACGGUGGAUCCACGGCGGGAACAUCACCAAGGCGCGGACACAGCCCCGACAACAACGAACUGUCUCCCGUUAAGGAGGCGACGAGGAGAUUUGCAUUGCCCCUAUCUCGGGCAAUAAUGGAAGCCGCCGCUCCCAAGGCAUGAGAACCACCAAAUCUAGUAGCUGUGUUAGCGACGGGACUACAGAUCCCGACGAUCACGUCGACAACGUCAACGCGAUGCUCGACUACCGCAGAUGAUAUAACCGGGCACCUCAAAUGCCGACUGUUCUCGACGGACCCUCAGGAAAGGGGCCAUGACUUGGUACAAAAGCUUGGCCCUGAGUCCAUUACGUCAUGGAGAGUCAUGAGGUCCAUGUUACCAGGCACUGUACAGCUUGCCCGUCGUCACCCCAGACUGAGGGCGACCUUGAAGCCAUAGUGCAGAAGAAGAAUGAAAACACUGGCGCUCAUACAUCGAGCGAUUCAACGAGGAAGCUGUCGAAGGUAGAUACCACCCGAGCACAUGAAGAAGAUUCUCCUCGAGAGAGGUCUUCUUGCCCGCAGUGAACUGCAAGCCGUAGGGAUCGGCCUCCCGCACCUAACAGCUCCUGCAGUAAGCCAGGCUACAUCAGAUACGAGGAAAAGCAGGGCACACAAUGCGCCGCAGCGCGUAGCGCUGGGAGACCGAGCACCUACCAAACGCGAGGAAACCACGAGCCAUAUUCCCGUCGCAUACGGAGACAGAACGAAGGAGAAGAAAGACCGCGAGCUCCGGGAAGGAAGAGGCCCCGCGGGCAGAUAUACGCGAGUACACCUACUGACAGCUCCCUCGAGAGGCGUAUCCUCGCAGAAUGUAAUCAAACUCUGACAAUUUCAGCAGGCAGGGUCAGGUUCCCAAAACCGUCUGCACCAAAAGCCACACCGACAAAUCAAAGUACUGGGCACGUUCCACAGAAGUCACGGGGCACGUGACCGAGACUGGCGUACCACUGAAGGAUGCGAUAGAAAUUUUUAAUCCAAGAGGGGCACCUGAAGCAGUAUACGAGGAAGAACGAAGCUCCCAGACACGACGAGCCAGAGAAGAGAGACCCCGGGAAGAACACACCCCUGACAACUCCUCCUAUCAAGUGGCCUCUGCGUGUCACGACCGGAAGAUUUCUUCCUCCCCCGAAACCAUUGCCGAGGGCAAGAUCACUGCACUCAGCCCCUGGGAAACUUCCCUGACCACACUGGUGAUAUCAGGAGGAGGAACUAACGGGGAAUCCGCGGCCCUCUCCGUCAAACGUAAGUUCGACGAACUCCUACUGACUGCCCCCCGAGCAGAAAGCGACAUUGACAAAUACCGGGAAAAUCCAACCAUAUCCUUCUUCCUGGAGUGAACUCCCGGCGGAUCCCCGAAACUCGGCAUCCCACUAUUGAUAGGGCAAAGAUGGCCCCAAUUCGACGUACGACGCAUCUGGUCGACCAAGGCAGCUCAGUGGAUAUCAUGUACGUCCACCUCUUCAAGACUCUGAAGCUAGACAGGCCAACUUAGCCCCUACGUCGGAUCAGCAUCUCCAAGGAUAUCAACGAGCAACAACCAGACCGUGGGGAUAUGUUGAGCUCCUCGUCACCUUCGCGAACAAGAAACGGCCAGGGAAGUCAACAAUCCAAUUCCUGGUCGAUAGACUGUCCGUCUCUCCUACAAUUGCAUCUUUGGACGCCCGACACUGGCCGACUCACCGCGGUCCAUCCACGUCCACGCUAAAGAUGAAAUACUACACCAAAUUGGCGACGUGUGCUCACCAUCCAUGUGACAUCGAAGCAGCCCGGCGAUGCUACGACGCCGCAGUAAAAGGACAGGCCGUAGUCAGCACGAAGAGCAACUGCAACAACAAAAAACUCAGGACCGGGGAUCCUGCCCGCAGGAGUCAACGGCCAUCGACCUCGACUGUCGCAUCGGGCUGGACGAGACCGAAGAGGGAGGUUCCCCAAGGACGCUCUCUCGGACACCGCUCGGUCUGACCAAUCCCGCGGACGGAGAGUUCGAACUCAUUCCUCUUGGGGACGAUCCGGAAAGGACGGUGAAGAUAGGUAAGGGACUACCCGAGGAAACAAGAGAGAGCUAGUAGCAUGCCUCAAAGAGAACUCGACCUCUCGGCGUGAAUGCGCCAGAAAUGCCCAGGGCUGGACCCCGAGAUCGCGUGUCAAAGCUAGCUCUAGACGCGGCGCAGCAAGCCCAUACACAGCGUAACGCAAGCAAUCGCCCGAAAGGCAGAGGCUGCCGAGCGAGCUGUAAAAGACCUCUUAGAGGCAAAUUUUAUUUCUGAAGGCCCAGUACACAACCUGGCUCUCUAAUGUAGUCCUCUGUUGAAGAAAAUAAUGGAAAAUGGCGUAUGUGUGUUGAUUAUACUGAUCUUAAUAGGGCUUGCCGAAAGAUGCUUUCCCCUCCCUAGAUAAUAGACAUGCUCGUUGACAACUCUGCAGGUUUUAACUCUUGUCCUUCAUGGACGCAUGAUAGUGGGAUACAACCAGAUCCCUAUGUCGCCCCACAGACAAGAAACACACAGCGUUCAUGACCCCAACGGGCAAUUACUAUUACAACGUGAUGCCGUUCGGCUCAAGAACGCUGGCGCUUACAUACCAACGCAUGAUGAACAAAGUCUUCAAGGACGAAAUAGGGACAUGCUCGAAGUAUACAUGGACGACAUGAUCGUCAAUCACACGAGGAGAUAACCCAUGCUCGACACCUUGCGAAGGUAUUCGAGCAGCGAGAACAGUGUAAAAUGAGGUUCAACCCGAAAAAUGCACGUUCGGAGUCCGGGCAGGCAAGUUCCUCGGUUUCUAUCUCACCGAAAGAGGAUAGGCGGCCAACCCGACAAUGCCGGGCAUUCUCGGAGGUUGCGACCCGAAAACCAAAAAAUGCGAUCCAGUCACUCAAUGGAGUGCUCGCCUCACUCUCCCGUUUCAUCGCCAGGUCCGCCAGCCGCAUUGCCAUCCAGACUCCUUCGCAAGAGGCUACCUUCGACUGGACCGAUGAAUGCGAGCAAGCGUUACUCCAUCUAAAGAAGGUUCUGUCCCAACCCCGGUCUUAUCACGGCCUCAGAACGAGGAAACCUAUACUUUAUACCUAUCCGUGGCAACCGAGGCCGUCAGCGCCGUUCUAAUAAGAGAAACCGACGAAGGACAAAAGCCCAUCUAUUUUACGAGUAAAGCACUCCAAGGCCCCGAGCUCCGUAUCAGCAAAUCAGAAAGUCGCCCUGGCCCUCAUAACACAGCGAGAGACUACGAUAUUACUUCCUCGCACACACGAUAAAGGUUGAGGACCGACAGCCAAUCAACAGCUGCUCGGGCGCCCGGAUAUGGCCGGGAGGAUGCUCAAAUGGUCACUAGAACUCUCCGAAUCGACAUACAAUACGAAAGUAGGAAAGCCUUGAAAAGCUCAGGCACUGGCCGACUUUCGUCGGCGGAGAUGACCCACUGCCCGACUCCAGCAGAAAGCGCCACAAAUGGACGAUCUUCGUCGAUGGGCCUCUAGCACAUACAGCCGCGGGGGCCGGGAUCAUCCUCGACAAAUGAAGAAGGGAUCCUGAUAGAGGUAUCAUUAGCGCUAGCGUUCCCCAGCAUCAAAACACCAGCCGAAUACGAAGCCUUCGCUCGCAGGCCUGAGGUUAGCGAGGACUGGGAGCAAAAGAGGUAAAAAUAUCCACGACUCCAGCUCGUGGCCUCACACGUGGCGAGGAGAAUACCAAACCAAGAACGACAACCUCCUCGAGUACUUGUCCUCGUCAAGAAAACUUGAUAGAUUUGAAAACUGGGAAGUUCAACACAUACCCGCGAGGCACAACACACGGGCAGACGUUCUCUCGAAACUAGCCAGCACGAGGAAAAAAGGGUGGAAUAAAUCAGUAAUCCAAGAAAUUCCCUCUCGCCAGCAUCGACAAACUACCGCUCCACUCGGGUCAACGCUAUUGGAGAUGCCGCUGUUGGAUGACACCCCUCUACAAUUACCUCACACGAGGACGAAACUCCCCCCUGACCCUAAAGAGGCGACACUGUUCAAACGACGACGCAUCGCUCGUACUACUCCUGAAGGCAAACUUACCGGAGAGGAUUCUCCCAUCCCUCUACUCAAAUGCCGUCGAGAGAGAGAAAAAGUCCCCGACAUACUUGGAGAGAUUACACGGGGGAAUUAAACGCACUCAACACCUCGGCGGACGAUCGCUCGCGACGAAAAGCGCCUCGAUCGAGCGCAGGUACUACUGCCGACCAUGCAAAACGAUUCGAAAGACGGCACGUCAAGAUGUGAGCAAAUGCCAACGACAUGCCGACAGUGCACCUCGCACCCCGCAACGACCUCAAAAAUCACGUCGUUCCCCAUGGCCUCCUCCGCGUGGUGGAGGUCAUGGCCAUAUCCUCGGAACCUUCGUCACGCGAUCAUAUCAGAAUAAAAUACGCUCAUCGUCGGGGGUGGAUUACUUCACCAAAAAUGGAUCGAGCGCGAGGCACUGGUAAAAUAACGCGCAGAACAAUUCUCCGUCUGGUCAAACCGCAACAUUGCCUCGCUCCGGUUCGGUAUACCGCCAGGCCACUUGUCACAGGACAACGGGACACAAUUCACGGACCGCGGGUUUCCAGGACAAUUUUUUUUUUUUUUUUUUUCAUCGCCAGCCUGGGCAACCAGACAGCGCAUUUCACGUCUUGUCGAGCAUCCGCAGACGAACGGGCAAGCAGAGGCCAACAGGUAACUUAGUGGCCCUAAACGCAGACCUCGGUGAGGCAUAAGAGGGCAUGGGUCGAGGAGCUUACAUGCGUGCUUGGGCCUCACCGCCGACACCAUCAUUUCUACCACGGGAAAGCCCCGUUCCGACGUACUUACGGCAGCCGAGGCAGUCAUCCGCGGUGGAGAUCUACGCGGCGCCAGAGAGGACAGAGGAGCCCUAGACGAGGAAAUGAACGUAUGAAACCCUUAGCGCCGAGCUCGACCUUAGUCGAGGGAACGUUCCGAAGCCAGCUCUCAGGGGAACAACCUCAAACAUAAAAAUAGCACACGCCAUGACGCGAAAGUCAUUAAAAAGGAGAGUCCAGGUCGGCAACCUCUGUGCUCAGAAGAAAACCAGGAAAAACCAACCCGGAAGAAGAGGGCAAACUGGCGGCCAACUGGGUAAGGCCCUUACCGCGGGUCCGCUACUACCAACAAAACAACAAAGGGAGCAAAGGGGUCCCCUAUUACCUAGAAACACCUACAAGGAGGAAAAACCAACUCGCUCGACCAUGGAACGGCAGGGCAAAACUUAGACAAAUAUUUUAACAAGGGCUAAAUGAACACCCACAGGCUUAAAUACACACGGGGAGGACGUGGGCCAGGUACGACCACGCUCAUUCGUCCCCAACACGCGCAGGGAGGAACCACGAGACCCCGGGAACGAUACCGGGGUCAACAUAACAACACAACCCAUACGCCCGAACGGUUGGGAAUCUUGAACGCAAGACUCAACGUCGAAGUACCUAGACUGGAGGGCACCCAGCUCGCGGAUGGGAGGGCCCCCCAGCCUCGGACGCAGGGUUUCGCAACAACGACCCGGGCUUCGAUAAACCCACGGGCACAAAGCCCGAGCACUCCGUCGGUUCCUAAACGCGAGGAUGAUUACAAACAGUCGAGCAGAGUACGAUCAUACAAACAAGUAAUCGCAAAACACAAACGAGCACAAUGAGAUAACGAAAAUAUUCAUACAUUAAAAACGAUAAGAGUGGGCCAGAAGCCUAAGUCGCCCCCGAAGGCCAUAUACAACGCGGCCCGAAAGGCCAAAUAUCAUAAGGCAACGCGGCCAUGAUAACUAAAAUCAAAGAAAAGGACAACAUAUAACUAAAGACUCCGCUCGGAGCACCUCUUCAUCCUCUCUUCUUCUUCUCGCCCCCAGCUCCUCCUCUCGCUCAACGGGCAGAUAAAUCUCACCAUCCGGACGCAGCAGUUAUAGGCCGACCCUGCUGUCACCAACGUCAGGGUUCAGAAGCGCCCGAGCUUGCUCGACAGGCAAUUGUCGAAACCUCUUUGUAAGGCAGGCCACGAGGAUUUGGUGCGAGAGUCCGAGAGAUGCCCUUAGCAAAGGCUUCACCGCGCGAACCAAGGGCGCGUUCCUCCUCGGUCUCAUCUGCCAGAAGGACGGACCUUUCCUCAAAGAAGCUCCACCUGAGCCCGUCGGCCGAAGCGUUGUCCUCGUCAGCUUCUGAUGGUCGACACCUGCUCUUUUUUUUUUUUCCCCAAGGGGCUCCGGCCUUAGCAGCCCUUCACUGGUCCCUCUCCUUCUUCCACCUCCUCCAGCUUCUGGCUCAAGCCCUUCCUGCAAGCGCGAUGCUGGCUUCUUUGUAAAGUCCGACAAUCUUUAAGAUAUCUUCCUCUCCGUCGAACCUGCAAAAGGGCAUCCUCCCAUCGCGAGGCAGUGGAAGACCGAAGUGGUCCGGUCAAAAACCAUGGCCGUGGCUCCAUCACCCCGGAUGACAGCAGCAAUAUCGCCUGGCCAGAUUUUUCUCCGGGGAAAAAGGGGGCAGCACCUGGUCCAGAAUUAGCCUUGGCUCAAGGCGCAGGCACAGCAAUCGACUCCUCGGCGCUUUGAAGAACGACCGUAUCCACAUAGCAGGGAGGUAGAAGAUAGCUGCCCGGUCCAUUCGGACUCCUAGCAGACGAGCCUUGGUGAAGGCCCAGCCGACGCUUCCGUUUAUGGGGGGAGAACCGCUGGCGGACGACUCACUAUCAGGAAUGUCGAUGCGGGUUAGAUCGAGGAGCGAGAGGAAGGAAUCAGCUCGCGCGCCUGCGAGGGACCGGCCCGGCAUCCAUGCAGUAAANNNNNNNNNNNNNNNNNNNNNNNNNGACGUUGGCACGAGGUGGUGGUCGAGCGUUGACAGAUUGAACGCCGACGAUGAGCCAGCUGCGAGGUCUGUACCUGUGACGCGUCCGAGCCUUGACCAGUAAAACAGUGUCAGCAAACAGAGGUUAGUGUUCUUGAUUCCUCGGCAGUCAUGUGAUUGAGAUCAGUUGCGAAUGUGGUAGCAUUAUCCUGUUGGGGAUUGCGGAACCGCUAGCAUUGGUUAUCGCUCGUAAGAACACGGCGUCCCUCAUGGCGCGUGUUAUGAUUUGCGUUGCGCUUUGACUUAUGCUUCAUUCGAGCUGUAUCAUGUUAAUAGCCUUGUUGGUGGGCGCAGAACUUUCAGGGAUCAUAUGGUCGGCAUGAACGAGAAUCUUAUUCACAUGAGCAGUUCUAAAAAAAAAUCCACUGCUUGGCUGUUUCACAGUCGUGAUGUGAGGAUGCCAUGUUUCAUAUCACACACACGCGGAUUGUCCGGUAGGUGGGGAUCUGGUGACAAAGACGGGUACAGCUUUUGGUGGCUCUUGUCUUGCGGCUUAUGUGACCGCGCGUAUCACUGUCUUUAUUUGAGUGUAAAUACUGAGUAGAGUGUCCAUAUGGCAUUAAUAUGGAAUGGCCUAUUAUCAGUAAAUUAUGGUGAGUGAUCAGUGACUAUAUUGUUGAUUUUGUUUUUGUGUCAAAAUACACUACAGCCACUCGUCCACAUUUGGACCCUACCAUUCAGUAACACACGACCAUGGCGCCAAUGAAAUAUGUGCUGCACCAGUGCCCUAGCUUAAUCCAACAUUGACGUUCUCACUUCUGAGUUAUAGGAGACGUCAUUGGAGUUGACAUCUCCAUCGCUACUUAUAGUAGAAGUAGUUUGUGAAUUUUUUUUUGAGAAAGUCAAGGUUUUUUGAAAUUAGUUUUUUUGUAAUAAGAUUAAUUAAGUUACUCCUUUUACGUAAUGCAAGAAUGUGCUCCACAUGCUUUGUUAAGUGACUGUUGAGAUUGUAUGUCCUCGCUCUCCCCGGAUGCUAAUUUUCCAUUAUUAUCAGUGAUACUUUCUGACAAAUAGUGACGGAAAGCUAAAAUAUCAAUUUAGAGUUAUGUAAUGAGGAUGUUUACAAUUAAACAUAACAAUAAAUGAAAAAUAAAGAACAUCACAAUAACUGAUUAAUGAGCAUUUAUUAUAAUAGUAAUCACAAUUAACAAUUCUUAAAUAUACCCAAUAGAUUUGUUUAGCCAAAUUACAGAUUGAUUGUUUUAUUGAAGUCAUUAAAAAUCUAUCAAUGAGCUAACCAUAAUCUAGUCUAGAUCUAAUAAAGCCCCUGUGACAUUAGGGAGAUAGUAUAAGGUUUCGUUUAUAAUUGUAAAUUAUAACAACAUCCGCUCCUAAAAAAUAGCAAUAAAUAUAGAAAGGACAAUAUGUUGUAUAUAGUAUAGGAAUCUCACGUUAAAACUCUAGUUAUUCAUGCAUUCUAAUUCUUUUCCUGGCAACAGCUAGACGUAUAACGGACGAUGAGACAACUAUUGUUACAUAUUCAAGCUUUAUUUUUAAUAUUGAAUCUACAUAUGAUAUUGUGAUAGCGAGUAUUGUUGUUUCUACGUGCACCGGCGCGGUUUAGAUGCCGCGAUAGUGCGCUGCUGAAUUUCAUGUUUUCUGUUGUGAGAAAUGCCAGGUUUUCUAGUUCGCUUAAGAUUUGCGCUGUCGUUGUGUGACCUCAUGACCUGGCAAGGCAAUUACUACUGAGCCGUCGUUUUCAACGCAAACCUCCAUCUUCUAGUAAAGAAGAAAUAACCGACCAUUUAAGUCGAAGGAAAUACAAGAAAUGAGGGUGUUGCAGGAGAAACAGAUAUUGCUGUGAAUAAACUUUUGUGAUAUGACCCUGUAGGUGUUGGUUUUGAUCUGUAUGUGUAGUCAUGAUGCUUAGGUAAGGUAGCUUGGCCAUGUGUGUGUCAACACAUGUGGAUUGGUCUUUGAUGGUUGAGUAAUGCUGCUCAUGAAGGAGCUGCAGUUUUGAUAACGGACACUCGUUUGCAGAGACAAUGGGAUUACGGGCUAAGCUAGUUCUUAAAAUCAAUUUGGUACUGUAGCCUGGAGUACAAGAUAAACAUUCUCCGAUUUUGAAUGGUGAAGACUUUUCUUUAAAUUCUAGGUGACUGCUUCUAAUUGCUAUUAAGCAAACUUUAUACUAUAGCCUGCUCACCGAUCUAAAACAAACAAAACACUAUGUCACGCAGGGUAAUAAACAUUUCCAUUCAUAAGCCCAACCUCUAAGUUCAAACCUAAUUGGCUCCUCAAAUUCUACACAUAAAUGGCUCAUAAUUGCCGAAGCCCAUAAGGUAGAAGGCCAUGGAAACAAUGAGACGCAUGGACAAUGCCACUGUAGGUAACCAAAACUUGCUCGUAAUAAUCUAUGUAAUCCGGAAAACUCAAAGGCCUAAUAACUAAAAACGUCAGGCCAUAAUGAUAGGAUUAGUGUUGGGAUCCUUAAAAGAAUAAGUAUCUCCUAAUUACUAAGCAAUCAAGAUAAACAACUCAAGCAACCCUUUUGUUUACAAUUAACCUGAACUUCAAUAAAUUAAAAUAUAUCUUCGAUAAAAACUGAAAUUAUUUGAAAAAAGGUUAAUGAUUAUGGAACCAAUCGUGAAAUCUUAAAUCGCAUCCGAAUCAAAUGAAACAAACCAGAUGGAAUGAUGAAGAUUUUCAAGGUUUUGAGUUGUCCAAGUAGAAAUAAGACAUGUUGGGGUUGUAAGCACUUCGGAUCCAGUGAGGAUACUUAGCUUUGAGUUUAUGCCAUCAUGUCGAACGUUUUGAACGCCGGCAAAAUUGGGGUAUGCAAGCCAUGAUGUAUGUUGUGGUGAGGAGUGGAGUGAUGACCGCAAAGUGACUCAGAUAUGGUCGGGCGAGCUGGUCCAGUAAUUGAAAACAGGUGUAUGAACGCAUCUGUUAAGAGAACAGACUGAAACAUGAUUCAAGAGCCAUUACAGGGGAACGCAAGAACUCGUAGCAAUUGUGAGGCUAGCUGAGAUGGUAUAUCGUCUUGGUAGACUACUUAUUAUGGAAGGAAUUGUUUAGUAAAAGUGAGGGGAAGAGGUUGGAUAACAGAUUCCCGAGACAGGCCUCUUAUUUUUUAUGGACACGUGAAGAUUGCAGUUGCUAAAUUUUGGAUCGGAGAUGAGGCGUCCAUGCUUUGGUCACGCUCUCAGUUGCGUCCCACUAAGCAACCGGAAGAUAUGAAGAAUCGACUUGUACAAUGAGUCUCGGGAAAGAAUGAAAAGAUAAUAGAUGCCGUUGGAUUACAUCAGCAGUAUGCGCACUCUUGAAACAUGAAAUAGAAUAGAUAUAAAGUUAACCCCUAAAAACGUAACAUUUGUUAUUGGUAGCUGCACAUUUAAAUAGGGUUUCUAAAACCUGUUUUUUAUUACUAUGUGUAAUCCAUAUCAUUUUAUUAGAGGCCGCACACGCAACCUGCAAACAAGCAGCUUUCUGCUUGUGUGACAUCAUGCUGGGCACACAUACCUACUUGAGGGCCUCUUUUACCAAGAAUAAUCUUACAGCAAACUCAAUGCUUUGAAAAUAACCGUACCAUUAAGGUCGAAGAAAUGACAAGGAAAUGAUGGUGUGCAGGUGAAACAGAUAUUGCUGUGAUGAACUUUGUGAUUGACCUUAGGUGGGUUUUGUAUGUGUGUCAUGAUCGCUUAGGUAAGGUACUGUGGUCAUGUGUGUGUCAACAUGUGAAUUGGGUUCUGGUUGAGUAUGCUGCUGCAGCUGCAGUUUGAUGAUCACCGUUUUGCAGGACAUGGAUUUACGGUGCGGAAGGCCAUGGCAUGCUGCAGAUCUAAUGCAUCUGCUCUGAUGCGGAUGCAGGCUGGACUGUGAAGAUGUUCCUUGUGGUAAACAGAGUUGCUUUGGGGUGGUGUUAGAUCAAUUUAUCACGAGAAUGCACUUUGACAAAAUGAGAAAGAAGUAUGACAUCGCACCACUAUUCGUACUAUGAAGUUUUCUGUCGCCUGUGUGUGUGUUGCUGUUCACUGCACGGUUGAUCUUAAGAUUCCAAAGCUGUUGAGAGCUCUUCAAGGCGUCUCUGUCAGCUAAUCUCCUAUUGGGUCUUUGGAUACGCCUAUACUAUGCUAGCUCAUUCUAACAAAUCAAAUUUGCCAAACUUAACACUGAUAAAAAAUUUCUGAUUGUUGAAUGUGAACGUUUUCUUUUUCGUAUAAUUCCUAGUUCCGUCUAAUGGGCUUUGAGGAACUUUAACUAUAGCCCUGCUUAACCAUUAAGACAACAACACAUCUCAAUUAAAAUUGAAUUAAUCAAAAACAAAAACAGUAAAUAAAAAACACUUAACCAUGAACCGUUGAACUUUUCAUAUCUCAUCACCGCCUGAACCCACAACAGGCGCUGACAGGUGACAGGCUUUCCUUGUUAGAGAUUGUAAUUACGCUUGUUAUGCUUGUAGUUGGUUUGUUAGUCAAACAGGUAGCCGAUAAUCUACCGUUUAUAGGAUGUCUAUACUUUGACUGUAUUUGUUGUCACUAUGUUGUUCUGACUCAUGGUACUACUUUUUUUGGCAAAAAGAGGGAGUGUGAUUGGCGUAUGUUGUGGAUGCUGAGCCUCUUGUAGUAUGAUUCUAACGACGUGAACCCUGCUAAGAAAUCUGCAGUACACGUGAUGUACCAAAUAUAAUAAUCUAUGAGACUAAUAGAAAAACUUAAGUUGUCGCUGGUUGCAUAUUGCAUUCGCGUUGAUAUUUAAAGAAGAAAUCAACUUUGAUCAUCUAUAUGUAUACAUUAUAGUGAUACAUUUAUAACCGUUUCUCUAAACCGGCAUACCAUGCACUGUAUAGAUCACAAGACAAUGCUACAAAAUUUCACCUCUAAUUUAUUUAUGCAUAGCCUCCAAUCCAUAUCUCUUGUGCAAACCUAUGUUGUUGGCACCUCACCCCGGCCCUAAAAUCCUGCUUAUUAAAAGUUCAAAUGUAUUAGAUAUUCUUCUUAGACGAUCACAGGUUGCAAUUCCUUUGCAAAGACGAAAAAAGAUAGAGCAUAUUCAGUUUUUUAUGAAGUCACAAUGUCAUCUUUUUGACAAAAACAAAAUAGACUUUAUGUAUAUACUUAAACCACUAAUAAUUACAAAAAGUACACAACAAACGAAGUUAGAAGCGCCUAACGCCCCAAUGAAGUUUUAAACGCUAAACCAAACCAAAAAAAAGAGAGCAUAAAAUAAGAGAGGCCCUAAAUACCCAUAGCAAUCAGCAGGUGGGACCUACGUUAAACAUAGCAUUAACUCACGCCGUCUUAUAAUCACCUAAUUAAAUAUGAUAUUUUACUUUAAUCUCUGAAAAAUCUAUGAAGGCUCCUCUUUGAAUUCUUCGCUCGAAUGAAAGACGCAAAACAUAUUAAUAAUCUUAUAAGCAUAUUAGCAUAAUAUCACUAUUCCCUUAAGACCUUCCAAUAAAAUAACAUCAACCAUGCACUACUUCCCAUCAUUAUCACAUAAAUGAAUUGUUUGUUGUCUGAUUGAAUGAGUUGGUAGUGAUCGCGGUCGCAUGGUUGGGCCGUUGUGAGUUGAUUACGGUCGGAAACAUGGAGAGAUGUCACAUAAUAUAAGGCGAGUGUAUAGAGCCUGUAGCUAUACUUGGAUACCUAGAAGAGCCCAGUUAUAUAGUGCUUGUAUAUACUAUAAUGUUGUUGUAGGUGAUUGGCUGUUGGGAGCAGAUUGCCAGUGUUUUGAGCCAGUGUAUGAAAAUGCCGUAUUGUAUCAGUUAAGAAUGCGCGUAGUAACCGCCUCCUAUCCGUUGCCUUCUACCGAAAACUCACAGGUAAAAUGAGACUCCAGGCGGCCGAAUUCACGUCUCUUUUCCUCCGGCGCCCCCCAGGGAUAGGAGCAGUCGCGCUAAGACUGUGAUUCCUUCCAUGUCUUUCGAAAUUAAAUAUACGGUUUCAACUGAAGUAUGGGUGGACAAUAAGGCAACAGUCCCACGCGCAAAUCAUAAACCAUUUGCAAAAGUGGACGUCGCAAAACUGCCGCAAACCCGAAUCGAGAUUUCGCGGUGCCGAGCAAAAACCGCGUUGCGGCGACGGCGGGCGGGGCGCACCAUGAUUCGGAGCCGCUGCUACCGGUGAUACAAUGCCGGAGAAUACAAACCACUCGCCACGAACAGGUACCGGAGCUCGGAGGUGGGGCAUUAAUCCUUCGGCACCCAAGGAAGCUAUAAGAACGUGGACGGAGAUUCGCUCUUCGAGAGGAGAGGGCAGAGCGCGGAGCCAGUGCAAGGAACGCCCCGACGCUGGCCACGACGGCUUUUUGGCGCGGCACCAGGGUCAUCCGGCACGAAGGGCAACCAGGACGGCGGGCCUAAAGGACCCACAUGGGAAGAAGUCUGAAAGUAAUUUCCCAAGGGUCAUUAGCCACAGCGGACCGUGUACGAUUCGAGGCAGAGCGGAGCCGGGGGAGGACGGAGGCCGGAGCUACGAGCCAGCCAGAAGACCCGAAAGAUCCCCGGGCACCUUUCGCUUCGGCCCACUCCCACCCGAACCCACAUCCAACACCUCUACUAACAUAUCCCCCGGUGGAAUUAUAAUAACCACAAUGAAGAAGCGGGAAGCACCUGGCAUAGGCAAUAAUUAUAUUGGUGAGGAUUGAGCUGAGCCCCCCCCCCCAACAAGUCAGGCAACAGACAAGAUCCGGUGGGCGCGUUGGGUUCCAUAAUUGGAAACCCAUGGUUUCUUGAAGAUCGUUAAGAAAUAACGAUCGAAAAGUACGAAUCCAUUGACAGACGAACGAAGAAUUCGUAGCAAUGUCGACCACCAGGCUGAGAUGUAUUGGUUGGUGUCUAUAUUAUCGGAAGAUGUGUAUUAGUAAAGUAUUAAGCGGGAUAGGUUGGGAUAACAAAGCGAUCCGCGCAAACGGGACACGCCUAGAUGUUGGUUCUCUAUUUGUUUUUGGAACCGGUUGAAGGUGCAUUUGAUAAUUGGAUACGGAGUCGAUUGGCGCUUCCAUGGCUUCUAGGCGAUGCAGUUGCGUCAAAAUCUAACCGGGAAGUAUGACAGAACUUGUACGAUGAGUGUCUCAGGGAAGAGAUCAUAGAUUGCCCGUGGAUUCGGUAGCUGUCAUCACAAUCGCUGCGCACUCUUAAAGACUGAAAUAGACAUAAAAGCGACUGAACCCUAUAUAACUUAAACAACACUAGCGCAUCGUCCCCAUUUAAAUAGGUUUUCUUAAAUCGUUUUUGUUAUGUGUUUUGUGAUAUCCUUUGCUUUUAUGCUUAGCCCAACAACAUGCAUCCCUUUCUUUUCUUAUUUUUAAAACACAUUUAAGAAUCACUAGUGUUUCUUUUACAGAUUUAUAAAAUUAUUAUUUUAUCUUAAUAUUAUAAAUCUUAUAUACAUUUUAUUAUAGAAAGCGACUACAGACUUAUAAAUAAACAACGACCCUUACAAAUAUACGAAAAGUAACCGAGACGUAUAGCAGACCCCACAUCUAUUUAGCAAAAGCCAAGUCAAAACAUCAAUAAAAAGCUAAACGCACAAAAAAAGAAAACGACAGCGAAAAACUAUUGAAGCAAAAAUUCACAUAAUCAAAUCAUGAAUACACAAUCCAAUUCCAAUUAGGCAGCAUUUUUUUGCCACCACUUCAUUUCCUUACAACGUUCCAUAUUUACUAACAUACGAAUAUUUAAAUGAUUUUUUAUGUCAACACGAAACUAUGAUGAGUUUCUAUGUCUGCUUAAUUAUAUUAUCUAAAUAUUUGUGAUUCAAAAUGAAUUUGAUUAAGCAUAAAAUUGAAUAAUAUUAUAUCCAAUAAUAUAUUUCCGUCAUCUUAUUAAAACGUGAUCGAAACUAAUUCAGUAAUGCUAUGAAUGCCAGGAGUUUUAAUUACUAUCUUAUUUUCACCUAAAAAUGGUAACCGCUUCUAAUAAUUUUCAGUAUCAUGAACAAUAAUCAGCCAGCUUUUUUCCUUCGAUUUCGUAUCGCAACUCGAGGUGAAUUUCUUUCUCUCAUUUAUAAUAGAAUGAUGUAACAUUUCAGUUAACAACAUUCAAACGACACCGAUAGUCAUAAAGCAAGAGAGCACCUACAACAAUAGAAUCGUAUAACACACAUACCAUCCUCAUAUACGAGAUGAAUUGUGUUUACGGUCUUUCACAUUCUAUCGAUUCUUGCCUGAACGAAAGAUGCGACCAACAAGUUGUCUUUCAUUCUUGCCUUCUCAGAUCUAGUACACAAAUACACACUUAUGUUGUGUGUUGUUGAUGUGUUUUGUUGUGUAUUGUUGUUUUUGUUAUGUUGAGAAUCCAAUCUAGAGGUUUAAGUCAGUAGGUUAUAGUUGUUUAAUAGGUUUAGUCUUAGAGAUUCAAUGACUAUAUACUGUACGUGCUAAUGUAGAAUUUAUAAGAACGCGUCGAUUGCAUGCCACUCAUCACCUGUUUGUAAUUACUUUAUAGAUUUUGAAAUAAGAAGUCGAAUUCUUUUAAUAUCCGACGCUCUAUGAAACUGACGGUGUAAAACUCUUCUUCUUGUACAGGUAUUUCAAUUAAACUGUUUACUUAUAGGUUUAUUGAUGUGUUGUGUGUUUUGAGUGAGAGUGUUAAAUGUUCUUAAAUGUAUUUUACAUGUUGUAUCUUUUCAUUUAUCUUAGGCCAACAUACAAAUCACUUUUUCUAUAUUAUUUCUUUUAACCAAUUCUAAGAAUACUCUAGGGUGUUAUUUAAAGACUUUUAAAAAAUUAUAUUUUUAAUCUAUGUAUAUAAUCCGGAUUACAAGUUAAAUUGUUUAUUGCAAACCAUUCUAAGGAUACAAUAUUGAUAUAUUUUAAGAUUAUACGUUGUGUAUCACAGAUUUGUAUAGAGGAAGGUGGUGGGACGGGGAGAUGUGUCUUAGGAAGUGAUUUUGGGUUGAAGCUGAGGGACAUAGAACAGAAGCGUGAACUAUGUUUGAGUGGUCCACAGUGUGCGGUGUGAAUAUAUACCGCAAAAGGAAGACGAGACAUCUGCACUGAUGAGACUGAAUAAGAGUAUCCUAGCAGUGAUAUAUAGCGGAUAUAAUUAACAGAUCUAGAGUAUAUAUAUUAGUAUAGUAUACUAUACUUAUAUAUAUAGAUAUAUAUUAUAAAUAUAACUUAUAUACUAUACUAUAAUAAUAUAUAUAAUAUAUAAUAUAUAUAUAAUAGCUAUUAUAUAUAUAUUUAAGUAUAUAUAUAUAUAUAUAGUUUAACUUGUAGCAUUUAGUUAAAACAACACAAACGAAUAAUCCUAACCAAGAAAGCCAAUAAGAGAGCCCUAGAUAAUAAGAGUCCUAAACACAUAUGAGCCUUAAUAUGAAGAUGAUAUGUGUUUAAGGCUCUCAUUCAAUUCUUGGUCGAAUAAAAGACACAACAUUUUCUUUCACUUCUUUUUCUCAGAUAUAAUACAUCAAGCAUCACUACUCGUGUUACAUUGUUGUUGUUAUCGUUGUUAUUGUUUGUUGUUGUUGUUGAGACCUAAGACCCUAGAGGUGUAAUCUUGUUGUUGUUGUUGUUGUUGUUGUUGUUGUUGUUGUUGUUGUUGUUGUUGUUGUUGUUGUUUAAAUACGUUUAUGUUAUAGGUUUAUUGAUGAUGUUGUUGUACUUUUGUUGAGAGAUUAUUAUUUUUGAAUGAUUGAUGUUAUUGUUGUUGUUGCUGCUUAGUUGUUCUACUACCCAAAAUUAUAAAAAUCUAUAUGUUAUGAUUAAGUUGUUGUUAUUGACUUUGAAUUUUGAUAUUGAUAUCUAUUUAUUAAUAUAUUAAAUCUGAAACUACAUAUUAUAUCACAACACAUGCUAAUUUUUCUAAUUUAUUUGUGCCACAUCAUCUCAUUGCCCUUUGUGGCACCUCCCUAAAAUCAUUUUUAAAAGUUCAAAUGUAUUAGUUAUUCUCUCUUAGAGAUCACGAGUUCAAUUCUUUGCAAAGACAAAAAAAAAUACAAUAUUUAUUUUUUAUUGGAAGUCACAAGUUCAUUUUUUUACAAAAACAAAAAUAUUUAUGAAUCUAAACACUAAAAUUAAAAUAACACAAACGAAUAGAACCCUAACGAAUAGUCCUAACCAAGAGAGCAAAUAAGAGAGCCCUAAAUAAUAAGAGUCCUAAACACAUAUCAUCUUUAAUACUAAUAUGAUAUGUGUUUAAGGCUCUCUUUGAAUUCUUGCUCGAAUGAAAGACGCAAAACAUUUUCUUUCACUUCUUCUUCUUAGAUAUAAUACAUCAAACAUCACUACUCAUAUUACAUUGUUGUUGUUGUCGUUGUUGUUGUUUGUUGUUGUUGUUGUUGUUGUUGAGGCCUAAAACCAUAGAUGUUUAAUCUUGUAAUUGUUAUUGUUUAAAUAAGUUUAUGUUAUAGGUUUAUUAAUAAUGUUGUUGUAGUUUUGUUGAGAGAUUAUUGUUUUUGAGUGGUUGAUGUAUUGUUGUUGUUGCUUAGUUGUUCUACUACAUAAAAUUAUAAAAAUUAAUAUGUUGUGGUUUAGUUGUUGUUAUUGAGUUACAAUUUUGAGAUUGAUAUUGAUAUUGAAAUUGAGAUUAUGUUUUUAUGAUUCUUUGUACAAGUUUCAUCUUGUUCCGCCGAAUUUAGUUUAUUUUAUCUAAUGUUGAUCGUUUGUUUCACUUACCAUCUUUAGACAUAAAACCUAUUAAAUUGUGUUUGGAAAAUAAUCAUAUGAAAAAUGAUAUUGUAUUUAAAAUUUAUCUUACACUGAUUAAUGAUUUUAUAGCAAUCUGCAACUCAUCAUUUAUCUCAUGCAUUUUUAUAGUUUAAAUAUCUCCAAUCUUAAAAGAUGGCUCGCCCAAUGUUUAUACCUCAAUUUUUUGUUGAUUAAUUUGAAAGUUUUAUCAUAAAAUAUAUUAUUGUGUGACUUAAAAAUUAGUUCCUUAAUUACUUGUGCAUUUAUUGUGACGUUGUAGACAUAUACCCGAUGUCUUAAAAAUCGGAUCAGAGAUUGAACCGGUGAAACUUGCGGUUUAAGAUUCAAUUGGUUCGACCGGUUAAACCUACGGUCGAACCGUUUAUUAAAUAAACUAUUAAUAUUGUUCUGGACUGGGCCAUGACACUAGGCACGGCACGGCCCAAUGCUCGCCAAGUCCAUGUCCAAACGACCACGAGGACACGUCAGGUGAACGACCGUCCGCCCGAAGAACGUCUCCCCGGCCCUAAAUCACCGUGUCGGGCGACAGAUCGGGCCCCUCCUCAUAUGAACUCCAUCCACUUAUCGUCAACGCCACGUCGCGGACACUAAGUUGUGUCCGGCAGCAGCCAUAACGGCAUCUCACUUACCACGUCACCCAACUCCCCUAUAUUGUCUCCUUAGGAUAGGGCAUUGGACCAAGGGGGCAGACCUUGUCUAGUCUUAACGCUUCUGACGGCGUCCCCUGGCAGCUCCUCCUUGGGCCUAGCUAAUCCAGCCCAUUAGGAGCCUUGGCCGAGCGCUGGGGGCUCAGUAAUAAAAUACACCCUUCAUGGCAAAGGGGCAGGUAUUCUAACUCACACUCUGAUAACCUCAUUCUGUACCUUUUCUGACUUAACAUUGGAGCACCUUGCAGGUAACACCCCCUCUCAUUUCAUUCUCUGGCCCAUUCACCAAGACCUUGGAAGGCCCUCCUGAUCAGGUAAGAUCAGUGGCGCCGUCUGUGGGAACCAGCUAUCCCAUCUUCAUCAAACGAGGAUCAAAAGCUCAUUUAUUUUGUCCUUCCAACAUGGGCCGGAGAACAACAUAGCGAUCACAGCCGUCCCUCGUCAACUACAAUAUGGACGACGGCCCGCCAUCCAUGAAACGGACGCUCGGGACGGUCAUCCAUCCACCCCCGUCCCAGAGCCCCAAAAACAACGGGAUGCUCUCACGCCCACAAUUUAGGGCAGAGACAUUUCAUCCCAUUCCCGCUUCCCUGUUGAAGGAGACGCCGUAAUGAUUGGCCAUGGUGAAAUGCCCUCAAUCAGGCCGGUUCUAUGCUCCACCGCAGCACGAACGAAUCAUGGCCCUCGAAGCCGAACGACAAAGAGCCCCGACCCAGCCGGUGAGUGGAAUACAACAACGUUCGGAAGCCAACGAAGAAGCGAGGAGACGUCGCUCUCCAGACCCCACGUCAGCAGGGCAAGCGCGCCGUCGUGACGGUGGUCAGAGCGGGAACAUCACCAAGGCGCGGACACAGCCCCGACAACAACGAACUGUCCCCGUUAAGGAGGCGACGAGGAAGAUUUGCAUGGCCCCUAUCUCGGGCAAUAAUGGAAGCCCCGCUCCCAAGGCAUGAGAACCACCAAAUCUAUAGCUGUGUAGCGACGGGACUACAGAUCCCGACGAUCACGUCGACAACGUCAACGCGAUGCUCGACUACCGCAAUGAUAUAACCGGGCACCUCAAAUGCGACUGUUCUCGACGGACCCUCAGGAAAGGGGCCAUGACUUGGUACAAAAGCUUGGCCCUGACCAUUACGUCAUGGAGAGUCAUGAGGUCCAUGUUCACCGGGCACUUUACAGCUUCCCGUCGUCACCCCAGACUGAGGGCGACCUUGAAGCCAUAGUGCAGAAGAGAAUGAAAACACUGGCGCUCAUACAUCGAGCGAUUCAACCAGGAAGCUGUCGAGGUAGAUACCACCCGAGCACAUGAGAAGAUAUCUCCUCAGAAGAGGUCUUCUUGCCCGCAGUGAACUGCAAGAGCCGUAGGGAUCGGCCUCCCCACCUUAACAGCUCCUGCAUAAAGCCAGGCCUACAUCAGAUACGAGGAAAAGCAGGUGCACACAAUGCGCCGCACGCGUAACGCUGGGAGACCGAGCACCUCAAACGCCGAGGAACCAGAGCCAUAUUCCCGUCGCAUACGGAGACAGAACGAAGGGAAGAAAGACCUGCGAGCUCCGGGAAGGAAGAGCCCCGCGGGCAGAUAUAGCGAGUACACCUACUAGACAGCUCCUCGAGAGCGUAUCCUCGCAGAAUGUAUCAACUCUGAAAUUUCAAGCAGGCAGGGUCAGGUUCCCAAAACCGUCUGCACCAAAAGCCACACCGACAAUCAAAGUACUGGGCCGUUCCACAGAAGUCACGGGGCACGGACCGAGACUGGCGUCCACUGAAGGAUGCGAUAGAAAUUUUUAAUCCAAGAGGGGCACCUGAAGCAGUUACGAGGAAGAACGAAGCUCCCAGACACGACGAGCCAAGAGAAGAGAGCCCCGGGAAAACACACCCCUGACAACUCUCCUAUCAAGUGGCCUCUGCGUGUCACGACCGGAAGAUUUCUUCCUCCCCGAACCAUUGCCAGAGGCAAGAUCACUGCACUCAGCCCCUGGGAAAACUUCCCUGACCACACUGGUGAUAUCAGGAGGAGGAACUAACGGGGAAUCCGCGGCCCUCUCCGUCAAACGUAAGUUCGACGAACUCCUACUGACUGCCCCCCGAGCAGAAAGCGACAUUGACAAAUACCGGGAAAAUCCAACCAUUAUCCUUCUUCCUGGGAGGAACUCCCGGCGGAUCCCCGAAACUCGGCAUCCCACUAUUGAUAGGGCAAAGAUGGCCCCAAUUCGACGUACGACGCAUCUGGUCGACCAAGGCAGCUCAGUGGAUAUCAUGUACGUCCACCUCUUCAAGACUCUGAAGCUAGACAGGCCAACUUAGCCCCUACGUCGGAUCAGUAUCUCCAAGGAUAUCAACGAGCAACAACCAGACCGUGGGGAUAUGUUGAGCUCCUCGUCACCUUCGCGAACAAGAAACGGCCAGGGAAGUCAACAAUCCAAUUCCUGGUCGUAGACUGUCCGUCUCUCCUACAAUUGCAUCUUUGGACGCCCGACACUGGCCGACUCACCGCGGUCCAUCCACGUCCACGCUAAAGAUGAAAUACUACACCAAAUUGGCGACGUGUGCUCACCAUCCAUGUGACAUCGAAGCAGCCCGGCGAUGCUACGACGCCGCAGUAAAAGGACAGGCCGUAGUCAGCACGAAGAGCAACUGCAACAACAAAAAACUCAGGACCGGGGAUCCUGCCCGGAGGAGUCAACGGCCAUCGACCUCGACUGUCGCAUCGGGCUGGACGAGACCGAAGAGGGAGGUUCCCCAAGGACGCUCUCUCGGACACCGCUCGGUCUGACCAAUCCCGCGGACGGAGAGUUCGAACUCAUUCCUCUUGGGGACGAUCCGGAAAGGACGGUGAAGAUAGGUAAGGGACUACCCGAGGAAACAAGAGAGAGCUAGUAGCAUGCCUCAAAGAGAACUCGACCUCUCGGCGUGAAUGCGCCAGAAAUGCCCAGGGCUGGACCCCGAGAUCGCGUGUCAAAGCUAGCUCUAGACGCGGCGCAGCAAGCCCAUACACAGCGUAACGCAAGCAAUCGCCCGAAAGGCAGAGGCUGCCGAGCGAGCUGUAAAAGACCUCUUAGAGGCAAAUUUUAUUUCUGAAGGCCCAGUACACAACCUGGCUCUCUAAUGUAGUCCUCUGUUUAAGAAAAUAAUGGAAAAUGGCGUAUGUGUGUUGAUUAUACUGAUCUUAAUAGGGCUUGCCGAAAGAUGCUUUCCCCUCCCUAGAUAAUAGACAUGCUCGUUGACAACUCUGCAGGUUUUAACUCUUGUCCUUCAUGGACGCAUGAUAGUGGGAUACAACCAGAUCCCUAUGUCGCCCCACAGACAAGAAACACACAGCGUUCAUGACCCCAACGGGCAAUUACUAUUACAACGUGAUGCCGUUCGGCUCAAGAACGCUGGCGCUUACAUACCAACGCAUGAUGAACAAAGUCUUCAAGGACGAAAUAGGGACAUGCUCGAAGUAUACAUGGACGACAUGAUCGUCAAUCACACGAGGAGAUAACCCAUGCUCGACACCUUGCGAAGGUAUUCGAGCAGCGAGAACAGUGUAAAAUGAGGUUCAACCCGAAAAAUGCACGUUCGGAGUCCGGGCAGGCAAGUUCCUCGGUUUCUAUCUCACCGAAAGAGGAUAGGCGGCCAACCCGACAAUGCCGGGCAUUCUCGGAGGUUGCGACCCGAAAACCAAAAAAUGCGAUCCAGUCACUCAAUGGAGUGCUCGCCUCACUCUCCCGUUUCAUCGCCAGGUCCGCCAGCCGCAUUGCCAUCCAGACUCCUUCGCAAGAGGCUACCUUCGACUGGACCGAUGAAUGCGAGCAAGCGUUACUCCAUCUAAAGAAGGUUCUGUCCCAACCCCGGUCUUAUCACGGCCUCAGAACGAGGAAACCUAUACUUUAUACCUAUCCGUGGCAACCGAGGCCGUCAGCGCCGUUCUAAUAAGAGAAACCGACGAAGGACAAAAGCCCAUCUAUUUUACGAGUAAAGCACUCCAAGGCCCCGAGCUCCGUAUCAGCAAAUCAGAAAGUCGCCCUGGCCCUCAUAACACAGCGAGAGACUACGAUAUUACUUCCUCGCACACACGAUAAAGGUUGAGGACCGACAGCCAAUCAACAGCUGCUCGGGCGCCCGGAUAUGGCCGGGAGGAUGCUCAAAUGGUCACUAGAACUCUCCGAAUCGACAUACAAUACGAAAGUAGGAAAGCCUUGAAAAGCUCAGGCACUGGCCGACUUUCGUCGGCGGAGAUGACCCACUGCCCGACUCCAGCAGAAAGCGCCACAAAUGGACGAUCUUCGUCGAUGGGCCUCUAGCACAUACAGCAGCGGGGGCCGGGAUCAUCCUCGACAAAUGAAGAAGGGAUCCUGAUAGAGGUAUCAUUAGCGCUAGCGUUCCCCAGCAUCAAAACACCAGCCGAAUACGAAGCCUUCGCUCGCAGGCCUGAGGUUAGCGAGGACUGGGAGCAAAAGAGGUAAAAAUAUCCACAGACUCCAGCUCGUGGCCUCACAAGUGGCGAGGAGAAUACCAAACCAAGAACGACAACCUCCUCGAGUACUUGUCCUCGUCAAGAAAACUUGAUAGAUUUGAAAACUGGGAAGUUCAACACAUACCCGCGAGGCACAACACACGGGCAGACGUUCUCUCGAAACUAGCCAGCACGAGGAAAAAAGGGUGGAAUAAAUCAGUAAUCCAAGAAAUUCCCUCUCGCCAGCAUCGACAAACUACCGCUCCACUCGGGUCAACGCUAUUGGAGAUGCCGCUGUUGGAUGACACCCAUCUACAAAUUACCUCACCACGAGGACGAACUCCCGCCGUGACCUGAAAGAGGCGACCACUGUUCAAACGACGACGCAUCGCUCGUACGUACCUCCGAAGGCAACUCUACCGGAGAGGAUUCUCCAUCCCUCUACUCAAAUGCGUCGAGGGAGAGAAAAGUCCCGACAUACUUGGAGAGAUUACAUCCGGGGAAUUUAAACGCACUCAACACCUCGGGCGGACGAUCGCUCGCGACGAAAAGCGCCUCGAGGCGCAGGGUACUACUGGCGACAUGCAAAACGAUUCGAAGAGGCACGUCAAAGAUGUGACAAAUGCCAACGACAUGCGACAUGGCACCUCGCACCCCGCAAACGACCUCAGAAAUCACGUCGUCACCCAUGGCCUCCCGUCCGCGUGGUGGAGGCGUAUUGGGCACAUAAUCGCUCGGACCCUUCGUCACGAUCAUAUCAGAAUAAAAAUACCUCAUCUCGGGGGGUGGAUAGCUUCACCAAAAAUGGAUCGAGCGCGAGGCAUGGUAAAAUAACGCGCAGGAACAAUUCUCCGUCUUCAAACCGCAAACAUCCUCGCUCCGGUUCGGUAUAACGCCAGGCACUUGUCACAGACAACGGGACACAAUUCACGGCACACGGGAGUAUUCCAGGACAUUUUUUUUUUUUUUUCAUCGCCAGCCUGGGCAACCAGACACGCAUUUCACGUCUGUCGAGCAUCCGCAGACGAUACGGGCAAGCAGAGGCGCAACAGGAUAAUCUUACGUGGCCCUAAACGCAGACCUCGGUGAGGCAUAAGAGGGCAUGGGUCGAGGAGCUUACAUAGCGUGCCUUGGGCCUCACGCCGACACCAAUUUCUACCACGGUGAAACCCCGUUCCGACACUUACGGCACCGAGGGCAGUCAUCCCGCGGUGGGAUCUACGCGCGCCAGAGAGGACAGAGAGAGCCCCUAGACGAGGAAAUGACGCAUGAAACGCCUUAGAGCCGAGCUCGCCUUAUGUCGAGAAGGAUACGUUCCGAAGCCAGCUCUCGGGGAAACAGACCUCAAACAUAAAAAUAGCACUACGCCAUGGACGGCGAAAGUCAUUAAAAAGAGAGUCCAGGUCGGCAACCUCUGUGCCUCAGAAGAAACACCAGAAAAAAACCCGAAGAAGAGGGCAAACUGGCGGCCAACUGGUAAGGGCCCUUACCGCGGUCCGCUACCCAACAAACACACAGGCAGCAAACGGGGUCCUCCCUAUCUACCCUAGAAACACCUACAAGGGAGGAAAACCAACUCGCUCUAGACCAUUGGAAGGCAGGGAACAAAACUUAGACCAAAUUAUUUAGCAGGCUAAAAAUAACACCCACAGGCUUAAAUACACCACGGGGAGACGUGGGCCAGGUACGACCACGCUCAUUCGUCCCCAACACGCGCAGGGAGGAACCACGAGACCCCGGGAACGAUACCGGGGUCAACAUAACAACACAACCCAUACGCCCGAACGGUUGGGAAUCUUGAACGCAAGACUCAACGUCGAAGUACCUAGACUGGAGGGCACCCAGCUCGCGGAUGGGAGGGCCCCCCAGCCUCGGACGCAGGGUUUCGCAACAACGACCCGGGCUUCGAUAAACCCACGGGCACAAAGCCCGAGCACUCCGUCGGUUCCUAAACGCGAGGAUGAUUACAAACAGUCGAGCAGAGUACGAUCAUACAAACAAGUAAUCGCAAAACACAAACGAGCACAAUGAGAUAACGAAAAUAUUCAUACAUUAAAAACGAUAAGAGUGGGCCAGAAGCCUAAGUCGCCCCCGAAGGCCAUAUACAACGCGGCCCGAAAGGCCAAAUAUCAUAAGGCAACGCGGCCAUGAUAACUAAAAUCAAAGAAAAGGACAACAUAUAACUAAAGACUCCGCUCGGAGCACCUCUUCAUCCUCUCUUCUUCUUCUCGCCCCCAGCUCCUCCUCUCGCUCAACGGGCAGAUAAAUCUCACCAUCCGGACGCAGCAGUUAUAGGCCGACCCUGCUGUCACCAACGUCAGGGUUCAGAAGCGCCCGAGCUUGCUCGACAGGCAAUUGUCGAAACCUCUUUGUAAGGCAGGCCACGAGGAUUUGGUGCGAGAGUCCGAGAGAUGCCCUUAGCAAAGGCUUCACCGCGCGAACCAAGGGCGCGUUCCUCCUCGGUCUCAUCUGCCAGAAGGACGGACCUUUCCUCAAAGAAGCUCCACCUGAGCCCGUCGGCCGAAGCGUUGUCCUCGUCAGCUUCUGAUGGUCGACACCUGCUCUUUUUUUUUUUUCCCCAAGGGGCUCCGGCCUUAGCAGCCCUUCACUGGUCCCUCUCCUUCUUCCACCUCCUCCAGCUUCUGGCUCAAGCCCUUCCUGCAAGCGCGAUGCUGGCUUCUUUGUAAAGUCCGACAAUCUUUAAGAUAUCUUCCUCUCCGUCGAACCUGCAAAAGGGCAUCCUCCCAUCGCGAGGCAGUGGAAGACCGAAGUGGUCCGGUCAAAAACCAUGGCCGUGGCUCCAUCACCCCGGAUGACAGCAGCAAUAUCGCCUGGCCAGAUUUUUCUCCGGGGAAAAAGGGGGCAGCACCUGGUCCAGAAUUAGCCUUGGCUCAAGGCGCAGGCACAGCAAUCGACUCCUCGGCGCUUUGAAGAACGACCGUAUCCACAUAGCAGGGAGGUAGAAGAUAGCUGCCCGGUCCAUUCGGACUCCUAGCAGACGAGCCUUGGUGAAGGCCCAGCCGACGCUUCCGUUUAUGGGGGGAGAACCGCUGGCGGACGACUCACUAUCAGGAAUGUCGAUGCGGGUUAGAUCGAGGAGCGAGAGGAAGGAAUCAGCUCGCGCGCCUGCGAGGGACCGGCCCGGCAUCCAUGCAGUAAANUCAUUAUCAUUUCACAAACAAAUUAGGUCAAAGCAUGUCAUAUAGAACCUCAAAGAAGUCAACAGAAAGACUCCACUCAAAUCCAAUCACAAACAUUUCAAUAAAUCCUCAAAUAAUUCAUGAUCAAACAUCAUCCAUAACAUGAUAAGCAUUCAAAAUUUCAGCUCAUUUGGAUCAAGGGAAGUAGGUCAAUGAAAAUCAGAAAGUCAAGGCAAGUUCAAGCAAGCUCAUUCAAAGCAUCAAAACAUGCACCAAUUUCAAUUAGUCAUAAAACAGAAACAACAUAUGAUAAAUGAAUGGGACUAAAACCAUGACAAACUUUAAGAUGUCUACAAUUCACAUGUCAAAUUUCAAGUCCAUCCAAUUAAGCAUUAGAAUUUCACAAAUCAAAUGAAAUCAUGUAUCACAAAAGAUCAACAAAUGACCAAUCAGGGGAGAAAAUUCCAAUCAAAGAGGAAAUGCUAUCAAUAAUUCCAUAAAAAUUCACAUGUAUUCUCAACAUCCAUAAGUAACUUCAUGCAAAACUCCUGACCAUUUUGAGUUCAAUAAGCAUGGUAAUUAAAAUCAUGAAGUUGGACAUGAAUGGUGUGACACAAAUUGUCACACCUCUAUUCAAAAAAUUAUAUCUCAUCAACCAGCAAUGAUAAAAUUACAAACUCUAUACCAAAAUCACC
This 57077-nucleotide long non-coding RNA is filed under the name Lathyrus oleraceus (garden pea). RNAcentral describes it as "Pisum sativum (pea) long non-coding RNA (PSAT_LNC036625)". The record is from RNAcentral. Lineage: Eukaryota; Viridiplantae; Streptophyta; Magnoliopsida; Fabales; Fabaceae.